RNAcentral lists this long non-coding RNA (74471 nucleotides) under Triticum aestivum (bread wheat). RNAcentral's name for it is "long non-coding RNA (TAES_LNC010664)". The record is from RNAcentral. Lineage: Eukaryota; Viridiplantae; Streptophyta; Magnoliopsida; Poales; Poaceae.
GCGGGGGCUCGUGCGGCGGGCCAGGCUAACCCAUUAGAUUAUACUAGCUCCUAUUGAUGUGCCAUACAUAUAUGUGGUACAAUCUCCACCAUAUUUAAACUGUCCGUCCAUGUAUACAAGCUACCAGUCUCGAAUAAUGGUCGGUUACAUCCCGUUUUAUGAGUCAGUUUUGUCGUUUUGUUGCUGAUAUGGAGCUACGAGAUAUUUACCUCCAUAGUCUGCUGUAUACUCGGCCUAACGAGCAGGACAACCCACCCUCAUGCACAAUAACCAUGUUCUCUGUGUACCAAGUUGAGAGGUCUUGCACCCAUACUGUCGGUUGCGUAGCUUGGCCUCGACCACCUCCGAUCAUUGCCUCCCUCCUUGUGGAUUGCGUACCCUAUUCUAGCCACCCCACACGUUUUUUGAGCAUUUCUGGCAUAAGAUGGAUGGCUUCCUUGAGGUGGUUGUUGCUGCUUGGGAUUCCGAGGAGCCGGAUCUGAACUCCUUUUAUCGUAUCUACUCACGCCUCAAGUUCAUGGCACGCCAUCGCCAAAGUUGGAGCACACGCUCCAUCGACAAUAUCUCUCUUCAUCUGCUGCGGUGCAAGAUAAGAGGCCCCUCUAGCUUGAGGAGGCAUGGCUGCGGCGCAAAUUGAAGAUGGCUUAUUUGGGGCUAGCCUCCCUUGAGUGUUCCAUCGCUCGACAACGGGUGCACUUCUCAUGGCUCCGCGAGGGGGGGGGGGGUGGAAGGGGACACUAUAACUUUGCUUUCUUUGAGAUCCAUGCGUCUCAUCGUAAGCAGAAAAACCAUAUCUUUCAGAUUCGUGUCAGUGAUAAGGUCAUCUCUGGCAAGGCGGCGAUGGCUGAGGCCGCAUUCCAUCACUUCUCCGACAUCGUUGGCUCGCCGAAUGCGCGGGAAGUGUCCCUCACUUUUGAGGUGUUUGGACCUUGAUACUUGAGAGAACUAACUUUCACGGAAACCAAAAGGUUCUUUGCAAUGUCCGAUGUAAGAGGGUGACCAGGUUUGCUUGGAUAUCUUGAUUGCAUGCACUAGAGAUGUAAGAAUUGCCCAAAAAGCUUUGGAAGGGCAAUAUCAGGGCCAUUUUAAGAAGCCAACCAUCAUUCUUGAAGCACUUGUAUUCCAUGUUCUCUGGAUUUGGCAUGCUUUCUUUGGCAUGCUCGGGUCUCACAAUGACAUCAAUAUGUUGCUGCGGUCUCCGUUGUUUGCUAAGUUGACUGAAGGAGAAGCUCCUCCUUCCAGCUACACUAUUAGUGGACAUCAUUAGAACAUGUGCCACCAUCAGUAGACGAUAUAUAUCCUCCGUGGGCUACAUUACUUGAGACCAUCUCUGAGUCAGUUGGUCAAAAAAGAUAUCACUUUACCCAAAGACAAGAAUGAGCUAAAAAGGAUGUGGAGAGGGCUUUUGGAGUGCUCCAAUCCCAUUUUGCUGUUGUUCAUAAAUAUGGUAAACAAUGGGAUUUAGAGACCUUGCGGGAGGUGAUGACAUAUUGUGUGAUCAUGCACAACAUGAUCAUGGAGGAUGAGGGUGAAGAUGUUCCCAGAGAUAUGAAAUUUGAGAGCAUGGGUGAUCGUAUCCAAUUUCUACACUGGAAAUUGUCUAUGUUUGAUGAGUUUGUUCAUAUGCAUCAUCAAAAUUAGCACCGGUCAACUCAUAAUAAGUUCAAGAAAGGUUUGGUUGAGCAUCUAUGGGUGAUUGAAGGAGACAACUGGAACAUAUGUGAAAGCUGGAUUCAAAUUUAAACUAUUUAUUUGAAAACUUAGUUAGAUUGUAAUAUUUAAAUUAUAAUUAUUAAUCUCACAUUUGAAUAUUUUGAAGGAAAUAUGCCCAAGAGGCAAUAAUAAAGUUAUGAUUUAUUUCCUUAUUUCAUGAUAAAUGUUUAUUAUUCAUGCUAUAACUGUAUUAGCCGGAAACAUAAUAAAUGUGUGAAUACAUAGACAAACAUAGUGUCACUAGUAUGCCUCUACUUGACUAGCUCAUUGAUCAAAGAUGGUUAAGUUUCCUAACCAUAGACAUGAGUUGUCAUUUGAUCAAUGGGAUCACAUCAUUAGGAGAAUGAUGUGAUUGACUUGACCCAUUCCGUACCUGCUCCCUUGUUGGAAAGUAGUUCGUCACAGAAACCUAUUCCUGUGACACCUACACCAAUUAGUGAGGAAGCUAAUAAUGAUGAUCAUGAAACUUCAGAUCAAGUUACUACCGAACCUCAUAGGUCAACCAGAGCAAGAUCCGCACCAGAGUGGUACGGUAAUCCUGUUCUGGAUGUCAUGUUACUUGACCAUGACGAACCUGCAAACUAUGAGGAAGCGAUGAUGAGCCCAGAUUCCGCAAAAUGGCUUGAGGCCAUGAAAUCUGAGAUGGGAUCCAUGUAUGAGAAUAAAGUGUGGACUUUGGUUGACUUGCCCGAUGAUUGGCAAGCCAUCGAGAAUAAAUGAAUCUUCAAGAAGAAGAAUACGCUGAUGGUAAUGUUACUGUCUACAAAGCUCAACUUGUUGCGAAAGGUUUUCGACAAGUUCAAGGAGUUGACUACGAUGAGACCUUCUCACCCGUAGCGAUGCUUAAGUCCGUCCGAAUCAUGUUAGCAAUUGCCGCAUUUUAUGAUUAUGAAAUUUGGCAAAUGGAUGUAAAGACUGCAUUCCUGAAUGGAUUUCUAGAAGGAGAGUUGUAUAUGAUGCAACCUGAAGGUUUUAUCGAACCAAAGGGAGCUAACAAAGUGUGCAAGCUCCAGCGAUCCAUUUAUGGACUGGUGCAAGCCUCUCGGAUUUGGAAUAAACGUUUUGGUAGUGUAAUCAAAGCAUAUGGUUUUAUACAGACUUUUGGAGAAGCCUGUAUUUACAAGAAAGUGAGUGGGAGCUUUGUAGCAUUUCUAAUAUUAUAUGUGGAUGACAUAUUGUUGAUUGGAAAUGAUAUAGAAUUUCUGGAUAGCAUAAAGGAUACUUGAAUAAGAGUUUUUCAAUGAAAGACCUCGGUGAAGCUGCUUAUAUAUUGGGCAUCAAGAUCUAUAAAGAUAGAUCAAGACGCUUAAUUGGACUUUCACAAAGCACAUACCUUGAUAAAGUUUUGAAGAAGUUCAAAAUGGAUCAAGCUAAGAAAGGGUUCUUGCCUGUAUUACAAGGUGUGAAGUUGAGUAAGACUCAAUGCCCGACCACUGCAGAAGAUAGAGAGAAAGUGAAAAGUGUUCCCUAUGCUUCAGCCAUAGGCUCUAUCAUGUAUGCAAUGCUGUGUACCAGACCUAAUGUGUGCCUUGCCAUUAUUCUAGAAGGGAGUUACCAAAGUAAUCCUGGAGUGGAUCAUUGGACAGCGGUCAAGAACAUCCUGAAGUAGCUGAAAAGGACCAAGGAUGUGUUUCUCGUUCAUGGAGGUGACAAAGAGCUCAUUGUAAAUGGUUAUGUUGAUGCAAGCUUUGACACUGAUCCGGAUGAUUCUAAAUCGCAAACCGGAUAUGUGUUUAUAUUAAACGGUGGAGCUGUCAGUUGGAGCAGUUCUAAACAGAGCGUCAUGGCGUGAUCUACAUGUGAAGCAGAGUACAUUGCUACUUCAGAAGCAGCGAAUGAAGGAGUCUGGAAGAAGGAGUUCAUAUCCGAUCUAGGUGUCAUACCUAGUGCAUCGAGUCCAAUGAAAAUCUUUUGUGAUAAUACUGGUGCAAUUGCCUUGGCAAAUGAAUCCAGAUUUCACAAGAGAACUAAGCACAUCAAGAGACGCUUCAACUCCAUCCGAGAUCAAGUCCAGGUGGGAGACAUAGAGAUUUCCAAGAUACAUACGGAUCUAAAUGUUGCAAACCCAUUGACUAAGCCUCUUCCACAAGCAAAACAUGAUCAGCACCAAGGCUCCAUGGGUGUUAGAAUCAUUACUGUGUAAUCUAGAUUAUUGACUCUAGUGCAAGUGGGAGACUGAAGGAAAUAUGCCCUAGAGGCAAUAAUAAAGUUAUUAUUUAUUUCCUUAUUUCAUGAUAAAUGUUUAUUAUUCAUGCUAUAAUUGUAUUAACCGGAAACAUAAUACAUGUGUGAAUACAUAGACAAACAUAGUGUCACUAGUAUGCCUCUACUUGACUAGCUCAUUGAUCAAAGAUGGUUAAGUUUCCUAACCAUAGACAUGAGUUGUCAUUUGAUCAAUGGGAUCACAUCAUUAGGAGAAUGAUGUGAUUGACUUGACCCAUUCCGUUAGCUUAGCACUUGAUCAUUUUUGUUUACUGCUAUUGCUUUCUUCAUGACUUAUACAUGUUCUUAUGACUAUGAGAUUAUGCAACUCCCGAAUACCGGAGGAACACUUUGUGUGCUACCAAAUGUCACAACGUAAUUGGGUGAUUAUAAAGGUGCUCUACAGGUGUCUUCGAUGGUACUUGUUGAGUUGGCAUAGAUCAAGAUUAGGAUUUGUCACUCCGAUUGUCAGAGAGGUAUCUCUGGGCCCUCUCGGUAAUGCACAUCACUAUAAGCCUUGCAAGCAAUGCAACUAAUGAGUUAGUUGCGGGAUAGUGCAUUACGGAACGAGUACAGAGACUUGCCGGUAACGAGAUUGAACUAGGUGUUGGGAUACCGACGAUCGAAUCUCGGGCAAGUAACAUACCGAUGACAAAGAGAACAACGUAUAGUGUUAUGCGGUUUGACCGAUAAAGAUCUUCGUAGAAUAUGUAGGAACCAAUAUGAGCAUCCAUGUUCCGCUAUUGGUUAUUGACCGGAGAUAGGUCUCGGUCAUGUCUACAUAGUUCUCGAACCUGUAGGGUCCGCAUGCUUAAAGUUCGGUGACGAUCAGUUUUAUGAGUUUAUAUGUUUUGAUGUACCGAAGGUAGUUCGGAGUCCCGGAUAUGAUCACGGACAUGACGAGGAGUCUCAAAAUGGUCAAGACAUAAAGAUUGAUAUAUUGGAAGCCUAUAUUUGGACAUCGUAAGAGUUCCAGGUAAAAUCGGGAUUUUACCGGAGUACCGGAGGGGUUACCGGAACCCCCCGGGGGCUAAUGGGCCUUGUUGGGCCAUAAGAGAAAGAGAGAGGGGCCGGCCUAGGGCAGGCAGCGCGCCCCCUCCCUCUGGUCCAAAUUGGACUAGGAGAGGGAGGUGGCGCCCCCCUUUCCUUCUCUUCCUUCCCCUUCCUUUCCCCCUCCUAGUAGGAGUAGGAAAGGGAGGAAUCCUACUCCUACUAGGAUGAGGAUUCCUCCUCCUGGCGCACCAACAAGGGCCGGCCGGCCUCCCCCUUGCUCCUUUAUAUAUAGGGGCAGGGGCACCUCUAGACACACAAGUUGAUCACAAAGAUCUCUCCCAGCCGUGUGCGGUGCCCCCUCCACCAUAAUCCACCUCGGUCAUACUGUAGCGGUGUUUAGGCGAAGCCCUGCUGCGGUAGCUUCAUCAAUAUCAUCACCAUGCCGUCGUGCUGACGUAACUCUUCCCCGAGCUCUACUGGACCGUGCGUUCGCGGGAUGUCACCGAGCUGAACGUGUGCUGAACGCGGAGGUGCCGUACGUUCGGUACUGAGGAUCGGUCGAUCGUGAAGACGUAAGACUAUAUCAACCGCAUUUUCAUAACGCUUCUGCUUAACGGUCUACGAGGAUACGUGGACAACAAUCUCCCCUCUCGUUGCUAUGCAUCACCAUGAUCCUACGUGUGCGUAGGAAAUUUUUUGAAAUUACUACGUUCCCCAACAUAUUUUUCACUCAUCAGAGAUUUGAUAUGCUGUCAUUCUGAGCUCAUGGACUUAAAACACAAAGACGAACAUUUAGGGGAUUUCGAGCAUCCGCAGCCAAGCGCCUCAAACGGGUCACAAACGCCCAGGGGGACGGACCGGUCAAAAAAGUUGAACGCCUCAAACUGGACCCAAACUCUAGGGCUAUCCGACACCCCUCAUAUCCAACCCAAAUCUGGGGUGGAUAUGGGGAGGCUCGAGUGCGUCCUCCAUGUCAGCCUAACCCACACUGGCCCACCAUGACCCCACUCCGUCCCACCAAAAAACCCACCCGAAGCAAACCCUAACUCACUUCAUUUUGCUCUGCCCCUCGUCUUUUCUCCUCCCUUUUCCCAAUCCGUUCCCCUCCUCCUCUCCAUCCACCUGUCUAGCUCCAGCAGUGAUGGAGGCGGUGGGACUAGUGAUGAUUGGGAUGCCUUCCUCCAUGGUGCGGCGGGUGACGAGGAGGAUUUGGCCCUCCACCUAGCGUUGAAGCACUUGCGGGUGGACACAAGUGGUAGCUACGGCUAUGCUUUGUCCCUAGCCACUCCCUACCAUAGUGCCAAUGCUGGAGUCGGCUAGUCCCGCACCGCGCAAAGCUCCUUGUGGUGCGCUUGCUCGCGGCCAUGGCCCGCCACCGCCCACCUAACCCUCCAACUUCUGCUCCUCAAGGGUAGCCAUGGGUUUAGUGCCCCGCUUCGUCGGUGCCACCGACACGAACACCUGAAUCUGAGGUGCGCAUCGCCCACCGCGAGAGGCAGCGGGCUAGUGAGAGGGCGUCGGCCUCGAAGGCGGUCACACAGUCCUCCCGCCUCUGCCGCCGCUGGAUGCCGAUGGUUCCCGAUGACGACGAGUGGCUCCUCCCAUGGGUCUACCGCUGCUCGCUUAUGACAAUGGAGACGGACGCCCGCCGGCUCCGUCGGAAAAACCCGAUGUGUCACAUCCCUAGUUCUGGUAUGCUCAAGGCUAGCUAGUCAUGUGUGCAUCAUGUUUAAAUUCCAUUUAAAUUUGAAAUGGGGAUUUGUGAAACCCUCAGAAAUUAUUUCUGGAAAUAACCCAGAUAAAAAUUGCUCCAAAAGGGUCCAAGAAAAUGUUCAUGUUGCUGUCUGAAAAUAUUGGUCAGAUUUAAAAUUCUAACAAAAAAUUUCAGGAGCUCAUAAAUAUUUAUUUGGCCAUUUGGAAUUAAGGCAUAAUUAUUUGCUUCGGAUAUUUUUUUUAUAUAUAUAAUAUAUGUCCAAAAAUUCUGUAAAUUGAUUGGGAGUUUUGGAGCAAUCCAAAUAGUUCCUACAAAAAUUGACAAAAGAAAAUAAACUGGUUUAGUAUUUUACUAAAUCAGAAACAAAUGUCAGAAAAUUAGAAAACAGAAACAAAACAGGAAAAAAGGGAGAAGGAGCUUACCUGGGCCAACUAACCUGGCAGCCCAUCUGCCCAGACCCAGCAGGCUGGCCCAGCCCACCUCCUACCGACGCCAGUCGUCGUCCUCCUGGCACCAGGAGGACGAGAGGCACGCGCUCGCCGCCCGCGCGCAUGGGGCCACGCCACCAGCUCGCCUGCAUGCCUCCCCCCGCCAGCGCGACGCUGUGGUUGACCCUCCGCUUGCCUCUGGACUGCGCCCGCCUCCUCUGUUCGCUUCCCUCCUCUCCCUCGCUCUUUUCCCGCGCCUGAAGCGCUCCCGUCGCCGCCGCAUGCCGUGGUCGUAGCCACCGCCUCCCCCUCGCCCUCUCUCCGUGUCUGCAAGCUCCGCCACGACUUCCCCUACGCCCUCGACGAGCCAAGCAACCGGGGACGCCCCGUGGAUCCGUCAGCGCCGUCUUCUUCACCCCCGGCCGCCCGAGAUCGCCGGCGCCGCCUCGUCGCCUCCAGAGCCUCCCCCGAGCCGCUGAGCACGCCCACCGAAUCGCUGUGAGUUCUACUCCGUUUCCCCCCUUUCUCGAGCUCGAUUUCCUUGCCUAGCUAGCUCUACCACAAAGGCCGUAGCACCUCGCCACCGGCCAUGUCGCCACCGCAGCCACACCUAUGGGCACCUGCAACCGAGCACACCACCGAGGUCAGCACGUCUCUAGGAGACGAACGCGACCAACCAUGGCCCCUGCCGUGCCCCGUAGCUCGCUCCCGCUCGGAGCCGUGCCCCAGCCGCCGCCCCGAGCUCCGCUCCGGUGAGCUCCGGCCACCCCCGUCCUCCCGUCGCCUCCCCUGGAUGCGCGAGAGCCCGGGUUACGCCCCAGUGCUCCCAGCCGCCGGCCCCGUGCCCUGCAGCGUGGACGCCGCCGCGUCCAGAGGUCACCGCCGACGACCCUAGCCGGCCUGAUGUGCGGGCCCGACCAGCCAGGUGAUUAGCUUAAGGCUAAUCACCAUUUUGCUAACCACCCCUGACACUGACAGUGGGCCCGGCGCCCUCUAAUCCUAAUUAGACCAAAUAAACCCCCUGUUAACUAAUUGAGUCACUAACGUGUGGACCCCACACGUCAGGUUUGACCUGGUCAGCGCCGUUGACUCGCUGACGUAGUGAUGACAUCAUGCUGACACAGUUAUUCUUUUUCUGGAAUUAUUUUAAAACAGGAAAUUCCAAAAAAUGUUUAAAACUUCAAAAAUUCAUAUAAAUUCAACCGUAGCUCAGAUUGAAAUAAUUUAUAUAUGAAAAAUUAUUAGAAAAAUGCAAUCUAUCCAUCUGUACUAGUUUCACGCAUGAAAAACCAAGUCAAAGCUGCUGUAUAAGUGAAACACUAAAAUGGCUUAUAUAAAGAGCUUAUUUUGGAGAUGCAUUUGAAUCUUUGGUUCAAAUGGACUUCAUGCAAAUGAAUGCUAGUUGCAUUAGCUCAAAUAACAUCACAACUUCAUGCCAUAUUCAUGCAUCAUAUUGUUGCAUAUGAUUGUGUAUUGAUUGUCGACACCGUUCCUUCUCGAUAGGUCCUGCUCCGGAGAUCGAUCCAGAGACCUGUCUGAGGAGCAGUGCCCCCUUGUUGAUCUACCAGGCAAGCAAACCCCCUUGUUCAUUCCGAUACAAUCUCGCUCUCUCACUCCUGCUCUCUUUUAUUGCAUUAGGACAACAACGAUUCAACUGCUACUUUAUGUUGCGGUAGUUGAACCCAUUCCUCUACAUGACCUGUCAUUGCCACAGUAAAUAGUUGAAACCCACUAGCAUGUGUAGGAGUUGAUUGAGCCAUGUUGUGUUCCUACCAUGCCAUUACUGCUAUUGCUUAGAGUUGUGUCAGGUCUGAUUCAUCGGGAAUGGAUUGGAGUGUUAUGCUAUGUUCUGAUGCUGAGAGUUAAGCGUCUGAACACGAUUUGUUAAAGGUAGCGGUGAGAGGCCAUGUAGGAGUACAUGGUGGGUUGUCUCAUUGGGACCAUCCUUAAGAACUGAGUUCUGUGUAAGUUGUCCAAUGACUAGCUACUACCACACAUUGGGCUCCGGGCGCUCCAAGCUCUCUCGACUUAUUAACCACCUCGGUCUCUGUCCAGGAGUUGCAACUAGUUUCUGGUGUUUGUAGGUAGUGCUAUUUUUCUACCGAGUGGCACCCGGCAGGGUGGACUUAGGACAGACUGGGCACCGUGGCCUGGUGUACCGAGUGGCACCCGAAUGGUGGGCUCGGGAACCCUGCACACAUCGUUUGGGGCCGUGAGCGACACCCCGGCCGGAUCUCCUUGCGGAUGGAACCCGAAUAGGCGAUAAACCUAGACUACGGUCUUGUGUGGUUAGCCAGGUCGUGGCCGACACCCUCGCCAGGCUUCCGCUUGAAGGUUGCCGAGAUACAUGACGUGUACAUGGCGGUAAGUGGCGAGAGCGUGUGUGAAGACGUACACCCCUGCAGGGUUAUCAUGAUCUAUUCGAAUAGUCGUGUCCUUGCUUAUGGACUUCUUGGAUGCUUACGUGGUACAUAGACAACUUAAAGUGCAUACUCUAAAAUGCUCAAGGCAAGUGUGAGUGCUAUGGAUGGCCUUCCCGUAGUGAGACGGGGAUGGAUCCAUAGUAGUGUAUUGAUGUGGUGAUUAGUGGACUCGUGUGCGCUGCCUCACCUCAAAGAAGUUUCUCGUAGUUGUAGAACAGGAUAGCCACUGAGUCAAAGCUGGCUUGCUGCAACUAAACUCUACAUUACCUUCUUGAUACAAAUGCAUGUAUGAUAGGAACUGAUGUAAGUCUUGCUGAGUACCUUUGUACUCAUGUUGCUUUAUUUAUGUUUUUGCAGCGGAGACUUCGGUCUUACUAGUUUAUGUGGACUUCGACAUGUAGCUUGUACCUCAGCUACGAUCUUGAUCGGAUGUUGUAGAUAGUCAGGCUCUUCAGCCUUUUUCAUUUGUAGUUGUCUGUACUCAGACAUGUAAUGCUUCCACUUGUUGCUUGUAUGCUCUGAAUGAUGGGUCAUGAGAUCCCUGUUUGUAUUAAUGCUAUGUGGCCUUUCUGGGCCUUUAUCUAUAUGAGUUUGCAUUAUGUUGUGAUGCCAUGUUGUACAGCACAUACUUGCAUGUUAUGCGUACGUGUAACGUGUAUUGCUAUGUGUGGGAUCCGACAAUCUAGUUGUUUAUCCUUGUCAACCUCUCUUAUGGGGAAAUGUAGUCUAGUGCCUCCUUGAGCCAUAGUAGUCCGCUACAGCCCGGUUCACCGGGGUCCUGCUAGCCCAGCACUACUGUUCAGGACACUUGACUGGCCGGCAUGUGUUUCACUUCGUUCCUGUGUCUGUCCCUUCGGGGAAAUGUCACGCGGUGACAUCUGGAGUCCUGCCUAGCCUGCUACAUCCCGGGUUACCGGAGUUCUGUUAGCCCAGUGCUACAGCCCGGAUUCACACGCUACUGACCGACAUGCUCAAGGUUGAUUCAUGUAUGCCUGUCCCCAUGGGUUAGUGCCGCUUUGGGUUCACGACUAGUCAUGUCGGCCCGGGUUCUCUAUCAUAUGGAUGCUAGCGACACUAUCAUAUACGUGAGCCAAAAGGCGCAAACGGUCCCGGACCAUGGUAAGGCGACACACGUGGGAAUACCGUGCAUGAGGCCGCAAAGUGAUAUGAGGUGUUACAUGCUAGAUCGGUGUGACUUAGAAUCAGGGUCCCGAUAGCUUUGGUAUCAGAGCCUGACUGCCUGUAGGAUUUCCAAGCCAACCUGGUCGAAGUUGAGUCUAGAAAUUCUUUAGUUAUGUAAGAGAAUUGAUUGGGGAAGGGAACGUAAGGCUCUUUUUACUCCUUAUACCUCAUGCCUUCUGAUCUGAGUCAUCCUAUCUUUCCUACGGGGUUAAGGAACUAGGCUUCCUCUUCUGUCUAUCAGGAUCACGUGUUACUACUCCGUAGUCUCUUAGGAUUGGUUGAUCAGAGUCAUAUCCCAGUUCAAGUACUUCCGGUGUAGUCUGUUUAGUAAUGUCUCAGAACCUUGAGUGAUGAUGUUGAGUAUGGUACUACCCCAUCGUUUACAGGAUGUCUCAUUCUGAGCAUUUUACUGCCGUUAUGCUGCCGGAAUUGUCCUAGGAGUUUGAGAGAUACUAAAUUCUUGUGCUAUCUUCUGCAUCCUAUAGUUGAUUCUGAAUCCAUCCUUGUUUUCCUUGGUUUCGUUCUUUAGGAUGUUGCCGGUUAACCGAAGUUCUGUUGCUCGUAGCCGGAACCACGGAGAUGGUAGGGAUGAGGAUCCUCCCGACCAGUCUUCGUUGACAGAGUUCAUGUUAGAGAUGGAGAGGAACAAGCAUGAGUCUAACCGCUUGUUAGCACGUAUCGAGGAGAACACCGCACCCCAGUGCAAAGAGUCAGCGACCAUCUAUGAUUUUGUUGGUUUGAAACCACCUACCUUCCAUCAUUCCAUUGAACCACUCGAUGCAGAUGACUGGCUCCGUAGUAUCACUCACAAGCUGCCUUCUGCGAAUGUAGCUGAAGGUGACAAGGUCACCUAUGCUGCAUAUCACCUGGAAGGUCCUACUAGUCUUUGGUGGCAGAACUAUGAGGCUAUGCUUCCAGCCGGCCAGAUACCGACCUGGAGAGAUUUCACUGAGGCUUUUCGCGAGCAUCACAUUCCUCUAGCUCUCAUUGACCGCAAGAGAGAAGAGUUCUGUAGUUUCACCCAGGGUAAGAUGGUUGUUGAUGCUUAUAGUAGAGAGUUUGAGAACCUCGCCCGCUAUGCUACAAAAGAAGUGUCCACGGACGCCAAGAAGCAGGCUAGGUUCCGGAAGGGUCUCAACCCCAAGUUGCAUCGUGAUCUCCACUUGCACCAUUGCAAUACAUUCCAGGCUCUUGUGAACAAGGCCAUUAACGCAGAGAUAGCUCAGCUCACCUAUGAGGAGUCUCGUAAGCACACCCGUGAUUUGGGUUCUUCCUCCAGUUCUAGUUCGCAGAAGCGCCGGAUUUGGAUUCCGAACUCCGCUCUUCCACCCGGUUAUACACCGAGGCCAUCUUGUGUGGCGCCUCACCCAGUUCAGCAGUAUGCUCCACCCAGGCCUAUUGGUAGACCGCUUGUCAAUGCGGGUACACAUCCUACUUCAGGGACAUGCUUCACAUGCGGAGAGCCAGGACACAAUGCACGUGACUGCUCUCAAGCCAAUUAUGCUCCACCCCAGCCCGAGAAGCCUAUUGGCCGUGGUAAGCCACCAUGCAAGAUGAUCAGUGUCAAGUCAGCUCCCACUGAACGUGGAUGUGUGCAUCAUGUCUCAGCUAAAGACGCUCAUGAUGAUCCGGAUGUCGUUCUUGGUACACUCCUUGUCAACUGUCAUCCAGCUUCGGUUCUAUUUGAUACUGGAGCAUCUCACUCCUUCAUCUCUCAAGGCUAUGCUCAUUUGCACGACAUGUCAUUUUGUGAUAUGCCAACUCCGCUUGAAAUCCAAACUCCGGGGUCUAGAUGGCAAACUACCAGAAUAAGCCAUGGUAAUGAAAUCCUUGUUGACAGACUUGUAUUCCUUGCAUCACUUAUAGCCCUCAAGUCUACAGAUAUUAACAUCAUCUUGGGUAUGGACUGGAUGAAAGCUCAUUAUGCCAAGAUUGAUUGUUUCACCAAGUCUGUUCAGCUUACACACCCAUCUGGCAAGAUAGUCACUGUCUCUACUAGAGUUGCAAAGCGUCAACUCUAUUCUCUUAACGCCAGCCCUCUCCCAGACCUUGAAGAUAUCCCGGUAGUCCGUGACUUUCCGGAUGUCUUUCCAGAGGAACUGCCAGGCAUUCCACCUGACAGAGAUGUAGAGUUUGUCAUAGAUCUUAUCCCAGGAACCGCCCCAAUUUCUAGGAGACCUUACAAGAUGGCACCCUUAGAACUAGCCGAGCUUAAGAAACAACUCGAUGAGUCCUUGCAAAAGGGUUUCAUCUGUCCUAGUUCUUCUCCUUGGGCUUGCCCCGUUCUUUUGUCAAGAAGAAGGAUGGUACGGACCGGAUGGUUGUAGAUUAUCGUCCCGUUAAUUUGGUCACGAUAAAGAACAAAUAUCCGCUCCCCAGGAUCAACGACCUGUAUGAUCAGCUCGCUGGAUCCUCAGUCUUUUCCAAGAUGGAUUUGAGGUUAGGCUACCAUCAAAUCAACAUUAGAAAUGGGGACAUACCUAAGACGGCUUUCGUCACUCGUUAUGGCCAGUACGAGUACACCGUCAUGUCCUUUGGUCUAACCAAUGCUCCAGCCACAUUCUCCCGCUUGAUGAACUCGAUCUUCAUGGAGUACUUAGACAAGUUCGUCGUGGUUUACCUCGAUGAUAUCCUUAUUUACUCGAAGAACAAGGAAGAGCAUGCCGAACAUCUUAGACUUGUGUUAGAGAAACUCAGAGAGCACCGCCUUUAUGCCAAGUUCUCCAAGUGCGAAUUUUGGUUGCCAGAAGUGACCUACCUGGGCCACGUGAUAUCUGGUAAGGGCAUUGCUGUCAACCCCGAGAGAGUUCAGGCCGUUCUUGAUUGGACUCCACCUGAAACAGUUAAACAAGUUAGGAGUUUCCUUGGUCUAGCCAGUUAUUGCCGCCGCUUUGUUGAAAACUUCUCUAAAGUGGCCAAACCUCUCUAAAGUGGUCCCCAUAGUGUGAGUACAGUUUUCAGGAACUGAAAAGAUGCCUGAAUUCUGCUCCCAUACUUGUGCCACCGGAUUUCACUAAGGACUUUGUUAUCUAUUGUGAUGCCUCACGACAGGGACUAGGUUGCAUUCUUAUGCAAGAUCGCCAUGUGAUUGCCUAUGCAUCUCGACAGUUGCAUCCACAUGAGGAGAAUUAUCCUACACAUGAUCUAGAGCUUGCAGCCGUAGUCUAUGCACUUAAGACAUGGCGACAUUACCUUCUUGGUAAAUGUUUCGAGAUUUACACCGAUCACCAGAGUCUCAAGUAUAUCUUCACCCAACCAGAUUUGAACCUUAGGAAAAGACGUUGGUUGGAGUUGAUCUCAGAUUACGACUUAGGGAUUACCUACACCCCAGGCAAGGGCAAUGUCAUGGCUGAUGCGCUAAGUCGUAAGUCCUAUUGCAACAAUCUUAUGUUACAGCAGGGCCAACCACUUCUCCAUGAGGAAUUUUGUAAGCUUAACCUUCACAUUGCUCCUCAUGGAUUCCUUUCUACCUUGGUGGCGAAACCUACUCUUGUGGACCAGAUCAUCUCUGCUCAGAAGCAGGAUACGGGAAUUUCCCGGAUCAAGAGAAACAUUAACAAGGGAGUUGGUGGUAGUUUCUCUAUAGAUGAUCGAGGUGUUGUUUUCUUUGAGAAUCGCUUGGUGGUUCCCAAGAAUCAACAUCUGCGACAACUGAUCCUUAAGGAGGCUCAUGAAUCUCCUCUCAUGAUUCAUCCCGGUAGUACUAAGUUGUAUCAGGACCUACGCCAGAGGUUCUGGUGGACUAGGAUGAAGAGAGAAAUCGCUGAGUUCAUUGCUAACUGUGACGUUUGUCGUCGCGUUAAGGCAGAACAUCAAAGACCUGCUGGCACCCUUCAGCCUUUAGCUAUUCCUGAGUGGAAAUGGGAUAAGGUUGGUAUGGACUUCAUCACCGGCUUUCCCAGGACCAAGAAAGGGAAUAAUGCUAUCCUCGUAGUCAUUGAUCGUCUUUCCAAAGUGGCUCACUUCCUACCUAUUCGAGAGAAUAUCACCGCUAAUCAGCUCGCUGACUUAUAUAUUUCUCGAAUAGUUUUACUUCAUGGUGUUCCACUAGAGAUCAAUUCAGACCGUGGUAGUCUUUUCACUUCUCAUUUUUGGGAGAGUUUCCAAACUGCCAUGGGCACCCAUCUUUCCUUCAGUACCGCUUUCCACCCUCAAUCAAGUGGUCAGGUGGAAAGGGUCAACCAAAUUCUCGAAGACAUGCUUAGAGCUUGUGUUAUCUCAUUCGGUAUGGAUUGGGAGAAGUGUCUUCCUUUCGCCGAGUUUGCUUAUAACAAUAGCUACCAAUCCAGUCUCAAGAAAGCUCCUUUUGAGAUUCUGUAUGGACGAAGAUGUCGAACACCUUUGAACUGGUCAGAAACCGGUGAAAGACAAUUCUUUGGACCGGACAUGAUCCAGGAGGCAGAAGAGCAAGUUCGCAUCAUUCGUGAGAAUUUGAAAACAGCCCAAUCUCGUCAAAAGAGCCAGUAUGACCAUUGUCAUAAGGAAGUGGCUUAUGAAGUUGGCGACAAGGCUUACCUUCGGGUUACCCCUUUGAAGGGUACCCAUCGAUUCGGUAUCAAGGGCAAGUUGGCUCCUCGUUACAUUGGUCCUUUUCGCAUUCUCGCUAAACGAGGAGAGGUUGCCUACCAGUUGGAACUACCCCCACAUCUUUCUCGAGUACAUGAUGUCUUCCACGUCUCUCAACUUAGGCGUUGCUUCUCGGAUCCCAUCCGUGGAGUGGACCACGAAAUGCUUGAUCUCCAAGAUAACCUCACAUAUCGAGAGUACCCUGUUCGCGUUCUUGAUCAAGCAGAGCGUGUCACUCGACGUCAGAACAUCAAGUUUCUCAAGUUUCAGUGGUCUCAUCAUUCCGAGAGAGAAUCUACCUGGGAGCGAGAAGAUCGUCUUUGACUGGAGUACCCCACCUUCUUUCCGUCGACCCCUGAAUCUCGAGACGAGAUUCUUUCAAGUGGGGGCGAGUUGUCACAUCCCUAGUUCUGGUAUGCUCAAGGCUAGCUAGUCAUGUGUGCAUCAUGUUUAAAUUCCAUUUAAAUUUGAAAUGGGGAUUUGUGAAACCCUCAUAAAUUAUUUCUGGAAAUAACCCAGAUAAAAAUUGCUCCAAAAGGGUCCAAGAAAAUGUUCAUGUUGCUCUCUGAAAAUAUUGGUCAGAGUUAAAAUUCUAACAAAUAUUUUCAGGAGCUCAUAAAUAUUUAUUUUGGCCAUUUGGAAUUAAGGCAUAAUUAUUUGCUUCGGAUAUUAUAUAUAUAUAUAUAUAUAAUAUGUCCAAAAAUUAUGUAAAUUGAUGGGGAGUUUUGGAGCAAUCCAAAUAGUUCCUACAAAAAUUGACAGAAGAAAAUAAACUGGUUUAGUAUUUUACUAAAUCAGAAACAAAUGUCAGAAAAUUAGAAAACAAAAACAAAACAGGAAAAACGGAGAAGGAGCUUACCUGGGCCAACUAACCUGGCGGCCCAUCUGCCCAGACCCAGCAGGCUGGCCCAGCCCACCUCCUGCCGACGCCAGUCAUCGUCCUCCUAGCGCCAGGAGGACGAGAGGCACGCGCUCGCCGCCCGCGCGCAUGGGCGCCACGCCACCAGCUCGCCUGCCUGCCUCCCCCCGCCAGCGCGACGCCGUGGUUGACCCUCCACUUGCCUCUGCACCGCGCCCGCCUCCUCUGUUCGCUUCCCUCCUCUCCCUCGCUCUCUCCCCGCGCCCAAAGCGCUGCCGUCGCCGCCGCACGCCGUGGCCGUAGCCACCGCCUCCCCCUCGCCCUCUCUCAGUGUCUGCAAGCUCCGCCGCGACUUCCCCUACGCCCUCGACGAGCCAAGCAACCGGGGACGCCCCGUGGAGCUGUCACCGCCAUCUUCUUCACCCCCGGCCGCCCGAGAUCGCCGGUGCCGCCUCGUCGCCUCUAGAGCCUCCCCCGAGCCGCUGAGCACGCCCACCGAAUCGCUGUGAGGUCUACUCCGUUUCCCCCCCUUUCUCGAGCUCGAUUUCCUUGCCUAGCUAGCUCUACCACCACGGCCAUAGCACCUCGCCGCCGUCCAUGUCGCCACCGCAGCCACACCUACGGGCACCUGCAACCGAGCACACCACCGUGGUCAGCACGUCUCCAGGAGACGAAUGCGACCAACCCCGGCCCCUGCCGUGCCCCAUAGCUCGCUCCCGCUCGGAGCCGUGCCCCGGCCGCCGCCCCGAGCUCCGCUCUGGCGAGCUCCGGCCACCCCGCGUCCUCCCGUCGCCUCCCCUGGAUGCGCGAGAGCCCGGGCUACGCCCCGGUGCUCCCAGCUGCCGCCCCCAUGCCCUGCAGCGUGGACGCCGCCGCAUCAAGAGGUCACCGCCGACGACCCUAGCCGGCCUGACGUGCGGGCCCGACCAGCCAGGUGGUUAGCUUAAGGCUAAUCACCAUUUUGCUAACCACCCCUGACACUGACAGUGGGCCCGGCGCCCUCUAAUCCUAAUUAGACCAAAUAAACCCCCUUGUUAACUAAUUGAGUCACUAACGUGUGGACCCCACACGUCAGGUUUGACCUGGUCAGCGCCGUUGACUCGCUGACGUAGUGAUGACAUCAUGCUGACACAGUUAUUCUUUUUCUGGAAUUAUUUUAAAACAGGAAAUUCCAAAAAAAUGUUUAAAACUUCAAAAAUUCAUAUAAAUUCAACCGUAGCUCAGAUUGAAAUAAUUUAUAUAUGAAAAAUUAUUAGAAAAAUGCAAUCUAUCCAUCUGUACCAGUUUCAUGCAUGAAAAACCAAGUCAAAGCUGCUGUAUAAGUGAAACACUAAAAUGGCUUAUAUAAAGAGCUUAUUUUGGAGAUGCAUUUGAAUCUUUGGUUCAAAUGGACUUCAUGCAAAUGAAUGCUAGUUGCAUUAGCUCAAAUAACAUCACAACUUCAUGCCAUAUUCAUGCAUCAUAUUGUUGCAUAUGAUUGUGUAUUGAUUGCCGACACCGUUCCUUCUCGAUAGGUCCUGCUCCGGAGAUCGAUCCAGAGUACCUGUCUGAGGAGCAGUGCCCCCUGGUUGAUCUACCAGGCAAGCAAACCCCCUUGUUCAUUCCGAUACAAUCCCGCUCUCUCGCUCCUGCUCUCUUUUAUUGCAUUAGGACAACAACGAUUCAACUGCUACUUUAUGUUGCGGUAGUUGAACCCAUUCCUCUGCAUGACCUGUCAUUGCCACAGUAAAUAGUUGAAACCCACUAGCAUGUGUAGGAGUUGAUUGAGCCAUGUUGUGUUCCUACCAUGCCAUGCCUGCUAUUGCUUAGAGUUGUGUCAGGUCUGAUUCAUCGGGAAUGGAUUGGAGUGUUAUGCUAUGUUCUGAUGCUGAGAGUUAAGCGUGUGAACACGAUUUGGUAAAGGUAGCGGUGAGAGGCCAUGUAGGAGUACAUGGUGGGUUGUCUCAUUGGGACCGUCCUUAAGAACUGAGUUCUGUGUAAGUUGUCCAAUGACUAGCUACUACCACACAUUGGGCUCCGGGCGCUCCAAGCUCUCUCGACUUAUUAACCACCUCGGUCUCUGUCCAGGAGUUGCAACUAGUUUCUGGUGUUUGUAGGUAGUGCUAUUUUUCUAGCGAGUGGCACCCGGCAGGGUGGACUUGGGAUAGACUAGGCACCGUGGCCUGGUGUACCGAGUGGCACCCGGAUGAUGGGCUCGGGAACCCUGCACACAUCGUUUGGGGCCGUGAGCGACACCCCGGCCGGAUCUCCUUGCGGAUGGAACCCGAAUAGGCGAUAAACCUAGACUACAGUCUUGUGUGGUUAGCCAGGUCGUGGCCGACACCCUCGCCAGGCUUCCGCUUGAAGGUUGCCGAGAUACAUGACGUGUACAUGGCGGUAAGUGGCGAGAGCGUGUGUGAAGAAGUACACCCCUGCAGGGUUAUCAUGAUCUAUUCGAAUAGCCGUGUCCUCAGUUAUGGACUUCUUGGAUGCUUACGUGGUACAUAGACAACUUAAAGUGGAUACUCUAAAAUGCUCAAGACAAGUGUGAGUUCUAUGGAUGGCCUUCCCGUAGUGAGACGGGGAUGGAUCCAUAGUAGUGUAUUGAUGUGGUGAUUAGUGGACUCGUGUGCGCUGCCUCACCUCAAAGAAGUUUCUCGUAGUCGUAGAACGGGAUAGCCACUGAGUCAAAGCUGGCUUGCUGCACCUAAACUCCACCUUACCUUCUUGAUACAAAUGCAUGUAUGAUAGGAACUGAUGUAAGUCUUGCUGAGUACCUUUGUACUCAUGUUGCUCUAUUUAUGUUUUUGCAGCGGAGACUUCGGUCUUACUAGUUUACAUGGACUUCGACAUGUAGCUUGUACCUCAGCUACGAUCUUGAUCGGAUGUUGUAGAUAGUCAGGCUCUUUAGCCUUUUCAUUUGUAGUUGUCUGUACUCAGACAUGUAAUGCUUCCGCUUGUUGCUUGUAUGCUCUGAAUGAUGGGUCAUGAGAUCCCUGUUUGUAUUAAUGCUAUGUGGCCUUUCUGGGCCUUUAUCUAUAUGAGUUUGCGUUAUGUUGUGAUGCCAUGUUGUACAGCACAUACUUGCAUGUUAUGCGUACGUGUAACAUGUAUUGCUAUGUGUGGGAUCCGACAAUCUAGUUGUUUAUCCUUGUCAGCCUCUCUUAUGGGGAAACAUAGUCUAGUGCCUCCUUGAGCCAUAGUAGUCCGCUAUAGCCCGGUUCACAGGAGUCCUGCUAGCCCAGCACUACUGUUCAGGACACUUGACUGGCCGGCAUGUGUUUCACUUCGUUCCUAUGUUUGUCCCUUCGGGGAAAUGUCACGCGGUGACAUACGGAGUCCUGCCUAGCCUGCUACAGCCCGGGUUACCGGAAUUCUGUUAGCCCAGUGCUACAGCCUGGAUUCACACGCUGCUGACCUACAUGCUCGAGGUUGAUUCAUGUAUGCCUGUCCCCAUGGGUUAGUGCCGCUUUGGGUUCACGACUAGUCAUGUCGGCCCGGGUUCUCUGUCAUAUGGAUGCUAGCGACACUAUCAUAUACGUGAGCCAAAAGGCGCAAACGGUCCCGGGCCAUGGUAAGGCAACACCCGUGGGAAUACCGUGCGUGAGGCCGCAAAGUGAUAUGAGGUGUUACAUGCUAGAUCGGUGUGACUUAGAAUCGGGGUCCCAACACGAUGGCACUUCAGGUAGGACUAGAGCAGUCAGCGUGCGAGGCGUUGGAGGCAAUAGCAGAGGUGGCAAGGGCGGCCAAGCUGAAGAGGUAGAAAGACCGCUCCGUUCGGAAGAUGGUGGGCUUCAUCAACUCCUCCUCGUCCUCCACAUCACCGACGACUCUGACUACCCACCUCUUGCCGCCACCGCCUAUCGGACGCCUAUAGUAGCACUGGUGAACGGAAGGGCAAAGGGCCAGCGAGGAAGUGGUGAAGCUCGACACUCUCUCCAUGUUUAUUUCUGCUUUUAGUAAUCUAGUUUAGAACUUGUCCAUUGCUACCUCUUGAGCACUGCCUUGGAAUUCCCCAAAGAGGAGAGGAUGAUGCAGCAAAGUAGCGUAAGUAUUUCCCUUAGUUUUUGAGAACCAAGGUAUCAAUCCAGUAGGAGGCUACGCGCAAGUCCCUCGUACCUACACAAAAACAAUAACUCAACGCAACCAACGCGCUUAGGGGUUGUCAAUCCCUUCAGGGUCACUUACGAAAGUGAGAUCUGAUAGAGAUGAUAAAUAAUAUUUUUGGUAUUUUUGGUAUAGAGAUGCAAAGUAAAAAGUAAAAGCAAAGUAAAAGCAAAGCAAUAAUAAAGUAAUGGAGAUUGAUAUGAUGAGAAAGAGACCCGGGGCCAUAGGUUUCACCAGUGGCUUCUCUCAAGAGCAUAAGUAUUCUACGGUGGGUGAACAAAUUACUGUUGAGCAAUUGACAGAAUUGAGCAUAGUUACGAGAAUAUCUAGUUAUGAUCAUGUAUAUAGGCAUCACGUCCGAGACAAGUAGACCGACUCCUGCCUGCAUCUACUACUAUUACUCCACUCAUCGACUGCUAUCCAGCAUGCAUCUAGAGUAUUAUGUUAAAAGAAGAGUAACGCCUUAAGUAAGAUGACAUGAUGUAGAGGGAUAGUUUCAUGCAAUAUGAUAAAAAAACCAUCUUGUUAUCCUCGAUGGCAACAAUACAAUACGUGCCUUGCUGCCCCUUCUGUCACUAGGAAAGGACACCACAAGAUCAAACCCAAAGCUAAGCACUUCUCCCAUGGCAAGAAAAACCAAUCUAGUAGGCCAAACCAAACUGCUAAUUCGAAGAGACUUGCAAAGAUAACCAAUCAUACAUAAAAGAAUUCAGAGAAGAUUCAAAUAUUAUUCAAAGAUAGACUGGAUCAUAAACCCACAAUUCAUCGGUCUCAACAAACACACCGCAAAAAGAAGAUUACAUCGAAUAGAUCUCCACGAGAGAGGGGAGAACGUUGUAUUGAGAUCCAAAAAGAGAGAAGAAGCCAUCUAGCUACUAACUAUGGACCCGUAGGUCUGAAGUAAACCACUCACACUUCAUUGGAGGGGCUUGGAUGAUGAUGUAGAAGCCCUCCGUGAUCGAUGCCCCCUCCGUUGGAGCUCCGGAACAGGCCCCACGAUGGGAUCUCGUGGAUACAGAAAGUUGCGGCGGUGGAAUUAGGUUUUUGGCUCCGUAUCUGAUCGUUUGGGGGUACGUGGAUAUAUAUAUAUAUAUAUAUAUAUAUAUAUAUAUAUAUAGGAGGAAGAAGUACGUCGGUGGAGCAACACGGGGCCCACGAGGGUGGAGGGUGCUCCUGGGGGGGCAGGCGCGCCCCCCUACCUCGUGGCCUCCUAUUAAUUGGCUUGACGUAGGGUCCAAGUCUCCUGAGUUGUAUUCGGUGAGAAAAUCACGUUCCCGAAGGUUUCAUUCCGUUUGGACUCCGUUUGAUAUUCCUUUUCUUCGAAACCCUAAAACACGCAAAAAACAGCAAUUCUGGGUUGGGCCUCCGGUUAAUAGGUUAGUCCCAAAAAUAAUAUAAAAGUGGAUAAUAAAGCCCAAUAAUGUCCAAAACAGUAGAUAAUAUAGCAUGGAGCAAUCAAAAAUAAUAGAUACAUUGGAGACAUAUCAAGCAUCCCCAAGCUCAAUUCCUGCUCGUCCUCGAGUAGGUAAAUGAUAAAAACAGAAUUUUUGAUGCGGAGUGCUACUUGGCAUAAUUUCAAUGUAAAUCUUCUUAAUUGUGGUAUGAAUAUUCAGAUCAAAAGAUUCAAGACAAAAUUUCAUGUUGACAUAAAAAUAAUAGUACUUCAAGCAUACUAACAAAGCAAUUAUGUCUUCUCAAAGUAACAUGGCCAAAGAAAGCUAUCCCUAGAAAAUCAUAUAGUCUGGCUAUGCUCUAUCUUCACCACACAAAGUAUUUAAAUCAUGCACAACCCCGAUGACAAGCCAAGCAAUUGUUUCAUACUUUUGACAUUUUCAAAACUUUUUCGAUCUUCAUGCAAUACAUGAGCGUGAGCCAUGGAUAUAGCACUAUAUGUGGAAUAGAAUGGUGGUUGUGGAGAAGACAAAAAGAGGGGAAGAUAGUCUCACAUCAACUAGGCGUAUCAACAAGCUAUGGAGAUGCCCAUCAAUAGAUAUCAAUGUGAGUGAGUAGGGAUUGCCAUGCAAUGGAUGCACUAGAGCUAUAAGUAUAUGAAAGCUCAACAAAAGAAACUAAGUGAGUGUGCAUACAACUCGCUUACUCACGAAGACCUAGGGCAUUUUGAGGAAGCCCAUCAUUGGAAUAUACAAGCCAAGUUCUAUAAUGAAAAAUUCCCACUAGUAAAUGAAAGUGAUAGAAUGAGAGACUCUCUAUCAUGAAGAUCAUGGUGCUACUUUGAAGCACAAGUGUGGUAAAAGGAUAGUAACAUUGUCCCUUCUCUCUUUUUCUCUCACUUCUUUUUGGGCCUUCUCUUUUUUAUGGCCUCUUUUUUUCGUCCGGAGUCUCAUCCCGACUUGUGGGGGAAUCAUAGUCUCCAUCAUCCUUUCCUCACUUGGGACAAUGCUCUAAAAAUAAUGAUCAUCACACUUUUUUUUCUUACAACUCAAUACUUAGAACAAAAUAUGACUCUAUAUGAAUGCCUCGGCGGUGUACCGGGAUAUGCAAUGAAUCAAGAGUGACAUGUAUGAAAGAAUUAUGAACGGUGGCUUUGCCACAAAUACGAUGUCAACUACAUGAUCAUGCUAGCAAUAUGACAAUGAUGGAGCAUGUCAUAAUGAACGGAACAGUGGAAAGUUGCAUGGCAAUAUAUCUCGGAAUGGCUAUGGAAAUGCCAUGAUAGGUAGGUAUGGUGGCUGUUUUGAGGAAGGUAUUUGGUGGGUGUAUGGUACCGGCGAAAAGUGCGCAGUAUUAGAGAGGCUAGCAAUGGUGGAAGGAAGGAACGUGUGUAUAAUCCAUGGACUCAACAUUGGUCAUAAAGAACUCAUAUACUUAUUGCAAAAAUCUAGAAGUUAUCAAAGCAAAGUAUUACGCGCAUGCUCCUAGGGGAAUAGAUUGGUAGGAAAAGACCAUCGCUUGUCCCCGACCGCCACUCAUAAGGAAGACAAUCAAUAAAUAAAUCAUGCUCCAACUUCAUCACAUAACGGUUCACCAUACGUGCAUGCUACGGGAAUCACAAACUUUAACACAAGAAUUUCUCAAAUUCACAACUACUCAACUAGCAUGACUCUAAUAUCACCAUCCUCAUAUCUCAAAACAAUUAUCAAGCAUCAAUUUUUUUUCUUAGUAUUCAACGCACUCAAAAGAAAGUUUUACAAAUCUUGAAUACCAAGCAUAUUAUUAUUAAGCAAAUUACCAUGCUAUUAAGACUCUCAAAAUAAUCUAAGUGAAGCAUGAUAGAUCAAUAGUUUCUAUAAAACAAAUCCACCACCGUGCUCUAAAAGAUAUAAGUGAAGCACUAGAGCAAAAUUAUAUAACUCAAAAGAUAUAAGUGAAGCACAUAGAGUAUUCUAUCAAAUUCCAAAUUAUGUAUGGCUCUCUCAAAAGGUGUGUACAGCAAGGAUGAUUGUGGUAGACUAAAAAUCAAAGACUCAAAUCAUAAAAGACGCUCCAAGCAAAACACAUAUCAUGUGGUGAAUAAAAAUAUAGCUCCAAGUAAAGUUACCGAUAGAAGUAGACGAAAGAGGGGAUGCCUUUCGGGGCAUCCCCAAGCUUUCGCUUUUAGGUGUCCUUAGGUUAUAUUGGGGGUGCCAUGGGAAUCCCCAAGCUUAGGCUCUUGCCACUCCUUGUUCCAUAAUCCAUCAAAUCUUUACCCAAAACUUGAAAACUUCACAACACAAAACUUAAAGCAGAAAAUCUUGUGAGCUCCGUUAGCGAAAGAAAACAAAAGACCACUUCAAGGUACUGUAAUGAACUCAUUAUUUAUUUAUAUGGGUGUAAUACCUACUGUAUUACAACUUCUCUAUGGUUUAUAAACUAUUUUAUUAGCCAUAGAUUCAUCAAAAUAAGCAAACAACACACGAAAAACAGAAUCUGUCAAAAACAGAACAGUCUGUAGUAAUCUGUAGCUAGCGCAAGAUCUGGAAUCCCAAAAAUUCUAAAAUAAAUUUCUGGACGUGAGUAAUUUAUCUAUUAAUCAUCUGCAACAAUAAUUAACUAAAUAGAACUCUCCAAAUAAAAAUGACAGCAGUUCUCGUGAGCGCUAAAGUUUAUGUUCUUUACAGCAAGUGCAACAAGACUUUCCCCAAGUCUUCCCAACGGUUCUACUUAGCACAAACACUAAUUAAACACAAAAAAACACAAUCAAAACAUAGGCUAAAUAAAUUAUUUAUUGAAUAAAAGUAAGGGAAAAUAUUGGGUUGUCUCCCAACAAGCGCUUUUCUUUAAAGCCUUAUAGCUAGGCAUACGAUUUUAACGAUGCUCACAAGAAAGACAAGAAUUGAAGCACAAAGAGAGCAUCAUAAAACAUGUGACAAUCACAUCUAAGUCUAACAUACUUCCUAUGCAUAGGCAUCUUAUAGGCAAAAAAAUUAUCAAGGCAAGCAAAAACUAGCAUAUGCAAGGAAGCGGAAAGAAACAAUAGCAAUCUCAACAUAACGAGAGGUAAUUUAGUAACAUGAAAAUUUCUACAACCAUAUUUUCCUCUCUCAUAGUAAUUACAUGUAGAAUCAUAAGCAAAUUAAAGAAUAUAGCUAUCACAUAAAAUAUUCUCAACAUGAUCCAUAUGCAUGCAAAAUUGGCACUUUUCCGAAAUAGUGGGAUUAACAUUAACUAAAGUCAUGACCUUUCCAAACGGGCUUUUAUCAAAAACUUCAUAAGAUUGAACAUUCUCCAAAUAUGUGGGAUCUAAAGUUGACAUUCUUCCAAACCCACUUUCAAUACUAUUGCAAACAUUAUAAUCAAUCUCAUAUUCAUCAUGGGGCUUAAAUAAAUUUUGAAUAUCAUAAGAAGAAUCACCCCAAUCAUGAUCAUUACAACAAGUAGUAGACAUAGCAAAACUAGCAUCCCCAAGCUUAGGGUUUUGCAUAUUAUUAGCACAAUUGACAUCAAGAGAAGUUAUAGUAAAAUCAUUGCAAUCAUGCUUUUUAUUCAAAAGAUCUAUCAUGAAUCGCUUCAUAAAGUAAUUCAUCACACUUUUCAGAUUCACAAAUUUCAAGCAAAACUUCAUAAAGAUAAUCUAGUGCACAAAACUCACUAGCAAUUUGUUCAUCAUAAUUGGAUCUCUUAAAAAGAUUAGCAAGUGGAUGAGGAUCCAUAGAUCUUAGGUUCUCUGUUUAGUAAUAAAUAAACAACUAUUCCAACCAUACGAGCAAACAAGAAACGGGCAAAAAGAGGCAAAUAGAGAAAGAGAGGGAGGAUAGAGAGAGAGAGAGGGCGAAUAAAACGGCAAGGGUGAAGUGGGGGAGAGGAAAACGAGAGGCAAAUGGCAAAUAAUGUAAUGCGGGAGAUAUGAAUUGUGAUGGGGUACUUGGUAUGUUGACUUUUGCGCAGACUCCCCGGCAACGGCGCCAGAAAUUCUUGUUGCUACCUCUUGAGCACUGCGUUGGAUUUCCCCGAAGAGGAGAGGAUGAUGCAGCAAAGUAGCAUAAGUAUUUCCCUCAGUUUUUGAGAACCAAGGUAUCAAUCCAGUAGGAGGCUACGCGCAAGUCCCUCGUACCUACACAAAAACAAUAGCUCAACGCAACCAACGCGCUUAGGGGUUGUCAAUCCCUUCACAGUCACUUACGAAAGUGAGAUCUGAUAGAGAUGAUAAAUAAUAUUUUUGGUAUUUUUGGUAUAGAGAUGCAAAGUAAAAAGUAAAAGCAAAGUAAAAGCAAAGCAAUAAUAAAGUGAUGGAGAUUGAUAUGAUGAGAAAGAGACCCGGGGGCCAUAGGUUUCACUAGUGGCUUCUCUCAAGAGCAUAAGUAUUCUACGGUGGGUGAACAAAUUACUGUUGAGCAAUUGACAGAAUUGAGCACAGUUAUGAGAAUAUCUAGGUAUGAUCAUGUAUAUAGGCAUCACGUCCGAGAGAAGUAGACCGACUCCUGCCUGCAUCUACUACUAUUACUCCACUCAUCGACCGCUAUCCAGCAUGCAUCUAGAGUAUUAAGUUAAAAACAGAGUAACGCCUUAAGCAAGAUGACAUGAUGUAGAGGGAUAGUUUCAUGCAAUAUGAUAAAAAAAACCAUCUUGUUAUCCUUGAUGGCAACAAUACAAUACGUGCCUUGCUGCCCCUUCUGUCACUGGGAAAGGACACCGCAAGAUCGAACCCAAAGCUAAGCACUUCUCCCAUGGCAAGAAAAACUAAUCUAGUAGGCCAAACCAAACUGAUAAUUCGAAGAGACUUGCAAAGAUAACCAAUCAUACAUAAAAGAAUUUAGAGAAGAUUCAAAUAUUAUUCAUAGAUAGACUGGAUCAUAAACCCACAAUUCAUCGGUCUCAACAAACACACCGCAAAAAGAAGAUUACAUCGAAUAGAUCUCCACGAGAGAGCGGGAGAACAUUGUAUUGAGAUCCAAAAAGAGAGAAGAAGCCAUCUAGCUGUUGGAAAUAUGCCCUAGAGGCAAUAAUAAAAGGAUUAUUACUAUAUUUCCUUGUUCAUGAUAAUUGCCUUUUUAUUCAUGCUAUAAUUGUGUUAUCCGGAAAUCGUAAUACAUGUGUGAAUACAUAGACACCAACAUGUCCCUAGUAAGCCUCUAGUUGACUAGCUCAUUGAUCAACAGAUAGUCAUGGUUUCCUGACUAUGGACAUUGGAUGUCAUUGAUAACGAGAUCACAUCAUUAGGAGAAUGAUCUGAUGGACAAGACCCAAUCCUAAACAUAGCACAAGAUCGUAUAGUUUGUUUGCUAGAGUUUUUCCAAUGUCAAGUAUCUUUUCCUUAGACCAUGAGAUCGUGUAACUCCCGGAUACCGUAGGAGUUAUUUGGGUGUACCAAACAUCACAACGUAACUGGGUGACUAUAAAGGUAUACUACGGGUAUCUCUGAAAGUGUUUGUUGGGUUGACACGGAUCAAGACUGGGAUUUGUCACUCCGUAUGACGGAGAGGUAUCUCUGGGCCCACCCGGUAAUGCAUCAUCAUAAUGAGCUCAAAGUGACCAAGUGUCUGGUCACGGGAUCAUGCAUUACGGUACGAGUAAAGUGACUUGCCGGUAACGAGAUUGAACGAGGUAUUGGGAUACCAACGAUCGAAUCUCGGGCAAGUAACGUACCGAUUGACAAAGGGAAUUGUAUACGGGGUUGCUUGAAUCCUCGACAUCGUGGUUCAUCCGGUGAGAUCAUCGAGGAGCAUGUGGGAGCCAACAUGGGUAUCCAGAUCCCGUUGUUGGUUAUUAACCGGAGAGCCGUCUCGGUCAUGUCUACAUGUCUCCCGAACCCGUAGGGUCUACACACUUAAGGUUCGGUGAUGCUAGGGUUGUAGAGAUAUGAAUAUGCAGUAACCUGAAAGUUGUUCGGAGUCCCGGAUGAGAUCCCGGACGUCACGAGGAGUUCCGGAAUGGUCCGAAGGUGAAGAAUUAUAUAUAGGAAGUGUUGUUUGGGCCAUCGGGAGAGUUUCGGGGGUCACCGGUAUUGUACCGGGACCACCAGAUGGGUCCUGGGGGUCCACCGGGUGGGACCACCCAUCCCGGAGGGCCCCAUGGGCUGAAUUGGGGAGGGGAACCAGCCCAUAGUGGACUGGUGCGCCCCCCUUGGCCCACCCCCUACGCCUAGGGUUGGAAACCCUAGGGUGGGGGGCGCCCCACUUGCCUUGGGGGCCACUCCACCCUUGGCCGCCGCCCCCCCUAGGAGAUCCCAUCUCCUAGGGCCGGCGCCCCCCCUUGGGGGGCCUAUAUAAAGGGGGGAGGGAGGGGCAGCCGCACCCUUGACUCUUGUCGCCUCCCUCUCCCCUGCUACACCUCUCCCUCUCGUAGAAGAACGGCGAAGCCCUGCUGCGGUGACUGCUGCAUCCACCACCACGCUGUCGUGCUGCUGGAUCUUCAUCAACCUCUCCUUCCCCCUUGCUAGAUCAAGAAGGAGGAGACGUCACGCUGACCGUACGUGCGUUGAACGCGGAGGUGCCUUCCGUUCGGCGCUAGGAUCUCCAGUGAUUUGGAUCACGACGAGUACGACUCCCUCAUCCCCGUUCUUUGAACGCUUCCGCUCGCGAUCUACAAAGGUAUGUAGAUGCAUCCGAUCACUCGUUGCUAGAUGAACUCAUAGAUGGAUCUUGGUGAAAACUUAGGAAAUUUUUUUGUUUUCUGCAACGUUCCCCAACGGUGGCAUCAUGAGCUAGGUCUAUGCAUAGUUCUCUUUGCAUGAGUAGAACACAAUUUGUUGUGGGCGUAGAUGUUGUCAACUUUCUUGCCACUACUAGUAUUAUUUUGCUUCAGCAGUAUUGUGGGAUGAAGCGGCCCAAACCAACCUUAUACGUAUGCUUACGUGAGACCGGUUCCACCGACUAACAUGCACUAGUUGCAUAAGGUGGCUGGCGGGUGUCUGUCUCUCCCACUUUAGUUGGAGCGGAUUCGAUGAAAAGGGUCCUUAUGAAGGGUAAAUAGAAGUUGACAAAUCACGUUGUGGCUUUCACGUAGGUAAGAAAACGUUCUUGCUAGAACCCUAUUGCAGCCACGUAAAACUUGCAACAACAAUUAGAGGACGUCUAACUUGUUUUUGCAGCAAGUGUUUUGUGAUGUGAUAUGGCCAAAGUUGUGAUGAAUGAUGAAUGAUAUAUAUGUGAUGUAUCAGAUGUUCAUGCUAUUGUAAUAGGAAUCACGACUUGCAUGUCGAUGAGUAUGACAACCGGCAGGAGCCAUAGGAGUUGUCUUUAUUUUUUGUAUGACUUGCGUGUCAUUGAGAAACGCCAUGUAAAUUACUUUACUUUAUUGCUAAACGUGUUAGCCAUAGUUGUAGAAGUAAUAGUUGGCGAGCAACUUCAUGGAGACAAGAUGAUGGAGAUCAUGAUGAUGGAGAUCAUGGUGUCAUGCCGGUGACAAGAUGAUCAUGGAGCCCCAAGAUGGAGAUCAAAGGAGCUAUGUGAUAUUGGCCAUAUCAUGUCACUAUUAUUAUUUGAUUGCAUGUGAUGUUUAUCAUGUUUUUGCAUCUUGUUUACUUAGAACGACGGUAGUAAAUAAGAUGAUCCCUCAUAAUAAUUUCAAGAAAGUGUUCCCCCUCACUGUGCGCUGUUGCGACAGUUCGUUGUUUCGAAGCACCACGUGAUGAUCGGGUGUGAUUCCAAUGUUCACAUACAAUGGGUGUAAGAUAGAUUUACACAUGCAAACACUUAGGUUGACUUGACGAGCCUAGCAUGUACAGACAUGGCCUCGGAACAAAGAAGACCGAAAGGUCGAGCAUGAGUCGUAUAGAAGAUACGAUCAACAUGAAGAUGUUCACCGAUGUUGACUAGUCCGUCUCACGUGAUGAUCGGACACGGCCUAGUUAACUCGGCUCAUGUUAUACUUAGAUGACUGGAGGGAUGUCUAUCUGAGUGGGAGUUCAUUAAAUAGAUGAACUUAAUUAUUAUGAACUUAGUCUAAAAUAUUUACAAUAUGUCUUGUAGAUCAAAUGGCCAACCUUGUCCUCACCUUCAACGCGUUCCUAGAGAAAACCAAGCUGAAAGACGAUGGCAGCAACUAUACGGACUGGGUCCGGAACCUGAGGAUCAUCCUCAUAGCUGCCAAGAAAGAUUAUGUCCUACAAGCACCACUAGGUGAAGCAUUUGUUCUCCCUGCAGAACAAGACGUUAUGAACGCUUGCCAGACACGUACCGAUGAUUACUCCCUCGUUCAGUGCGGCAUGCUUUACAGCUUAGAGCCGGGGCUCCAAAAGCGUUUUGAGAGACACGGAGCAUAUGAGAUGUUCCAAGAGCUGAAAAUGGUUUUUCAAACUCAUGCCCGGGUUAAGAGAUAUGAAGUCUCCGACAAGUUCUUCAGCUGUAAGAUGGAGAAAAACAGUUCUGUCAGUGAGCACAUACUCACUAUGUCUGGGUUACAUAACCGCUUGACUCAGCUGGGAGUUAAUCUCCCGGAUGACGCGGUCAUUGACAGAAUCCUUCAGUCGCUUCCACCGAGCUACAAGAGCUUUGUGAUGAACUUCAAUAUGCAGGGGAUGGAAAAGACCAUUCCUGAAGUAUUUGCAAUGCUGAAAUCAGCAGAGGUAGAAGUCAAAAAGGAACAUCAAGUGUUGAUGGUGAAUAAAACCACUAAGUUCAAGAAAGGCAAGGGUAAGAAGAACUUCAUGAAGGACGGCAAGCUGCCAGGAAGAAGCCAAAGAAUGGACGCAAGCCCGAGACUGAGUGCUUUUAUUGCAAGGAAAGUGGUCACUAGAAGCGGAACUGCCCCAAAUACUUAGCGGACAAGAAGGCCGGCAAAACGAAAGGUAUAUGUGAUAUACAUGUAAUUGAUGUGUACCUUACCAGUACUCGUAGUAGCUCCUGGGUAUUUGAUAUCGGUGCAGUUGCUCACAUUUGUAACUCAAAGCAGGAGCUGCGGAAUAAGCGGAGACUGGCGAAGGACGAGGUGACGAUGCGCGUCGGGAAUGGUUCCAAGGUCGAUGUGAUCGCCGUCGGCACGCUACCUCUACAUUUACCUACGGGGUUAGUUUUGAACCUCAAUAAUUGUUAUUUAGUGCCAAGUUUGAGCAUAAACAUUGUAUCAGGAUCUCGUUUAAUACGAGAUGGCUACUCAUUUAAAUCCGAGAAUAAUGGUUGUUCUAUUUAUAUGAGAGAUAUGUUUUAUGGUCAUGCUCCGAUGGUGAAUGGUUUAUUCUUAAUGAAUCUCGAGCGUAAUGCUACACAUAUUCAUAGUGUGAGUACCAAAAGAUGUAAGGUUGAUAAUGAUAGUCCCACAUACUUGUGGCACUGCCGCCUUGGUCACAUAGGUGUCAAACGCAUGAAGAAGCUCCAUGCAGAUGUACUUUUAGAGUCUCUUGAUUACGAAUCAUUUGACACGUGCGAACCAUGCCUCAUGGGUAAAAUGACCAAGACUCCGUUCUCAGGAACAAUGGAGCGAGCAACCAACUUAUUGGAAAUCAUACAUACUGAUGUGUGCGGUCCAAUGAGUGUUGAGGCUCGCGGUGGUUAUCGUUAUGUUCUCACCCUCACUGAUGACUUGAGUAGAUAUGGGUAUGUCUACUUAAUGAAACACAAGUCUGAGACCUUUGAAAGGUUCAAGGAAUUUCAGAGUGAGGUUGAGAAUCAACGUGACAGGAAAAUCAAGUUCUUGCGAUCAGAUCGUGGGGGAGAAUACUUGAGUCACGAAUUUCGCACACACUUAAGAAAAUGUGGAAUAGUUUCACAACUCACGCCGCCUGGAACACCUCAGCGUAAUGGUGUGUCCGAACGUCGUAAUCGCACUCUAUUAGAUAUGGUGCGAUCUAUGAUGUCUCUUACCGAUUUACCGCUAUCAUUUUGGGGCUAUGCUUUAGAGACUGACGCAUUCACUUUAAAUAGGGGAAGAAACCUAAGCUGUCGUUUCUAAAAGUUUGGGGAUGCGAUGCUUAUGUCAAGAAACUUCAACCUGAAAAGCUCGAACCCAAGUCGGAAAAAUGCGUCUUCAUAGGAUACCCUAAAGAAACUAUUGGGUAUACCUUCUACCUCAGAUCCGAAGGCAAGAUCUUUGUUGCCAAGAAUGGAUCCUUUCUAGAGAAGGAGUUUCUCUCGAAAGAAGUAAGUGGGAGGAAAGUAGAACUUGAUGAAGUAUUACCUCUUGAACCGGAAAAUGGCGCAACUCAAGAAAAUGUUCCUGAGGUGCCUGCACCAACUAGAGAGGAAGUUAAUGAUGAUGAUCAUGAAACUUUAGAUCAAGUUGCUACUAAACUUCGUAGGUCCACAAGGACACGUUCCGCACCAGAGUGGUACGGCAACCCUGUCUUGGAAAUCAUGUUGUUAGACAACGGUGAACCUUCAAACUAUGAAGAAGCGAUGGCGGGCCCGGAUUCUGACAAAUGGCUGGAAGCCAUGAAAUCCGAGAUAGGAUCCAUGUAUGAAAACGAAGUAUGGACUUUGACUGACUUGCCCGAUGAUCGGCGAGCCAUAGAAAAUAAAUGGAUCUUUAAGAAGAAGACAGACGCGGAUGGUAAUGUGACCAUCUAUAAAGCUCGCCUUGUCGCUAAGGGUUAUCGACAAGUUCAAGGGGUUGACUAUGAUGAGACUUUCUCACCGGUAGCGAAGCUGAAGUCCGUCUGAAUCAUGUUAGCAAUUGCCGCAUUCUAUGAUUAUGAGAUAUGGCAAAUGGACAUCAAAACGGCAUUCCUUAAUGGUUUCCUUAAGGAAGAAUUGUAUAUGAUGCAGCCGGAAGGUUUUGUCGAUCCUAAGAAUGUUGACAAGGUGUGCAAGCUCCAACGCUUGAUUUAUGGGCUGGUGCAAGCAUCUCGGAGUUGGAACAUUCGCUUUGAUGAGAUGAUCAAAAUGUUUGGGUUUAUGCAGACUUAUGGAGAAGCCUGCGUUUACAAGAAAGUGAGUGGGAGCUCUGUAGCAUUUCUCACAUUAUAUGUAGAUGACAUACUUUUGAUGGGAAGUGAUAUAGAGCUUUUGGACAGCAUUAAGGCCUACUUGAAUAAGAGUUUUUCAAUGAAGAACCUUGGAGAAGCUGCUUAUAUAUUAGGCAUCAAGAUCUAUAGAGAUAGAUCAAGACGCCUCAUAGGUCUUUCACAAAGCACAUACCUUGAUAAGAUAUUGAAGAAGUUCAAUAUGGAUCAGUCUAAGAAGGGGUUCUUGCCUGUGUUGCAAGGUGUGAAAUUGAGCUCAGCUCAAUGUCCGACCAUGGCAGAAGAUAUAGAAGAGAUGAGUGUCAUCCCCUAUGCCUCAGCCAUAGGUUCUAUUAUGUAUGCCAUGCUGUGUACCAGACCUCAUGUAAACCUUGCCGUAAGUUUGGUAGGUAGGUACCAAAGUAAUCCCGGCAAGGAACACUGGACAGCGGUCAAGAAUAUCCUGAAGUACCUGAAAAGGACUAAGGAAAUGUUUCUCGUUUAUGGAGGUGACGAAGAGCUCGUCGUAAAGGGUUACGUCGACGCUAGCUUCGACACAGAUCUGGAUGACUCUAAGUCACAAACCGGAUACGUGUAUAUUUUGAAUGGUGGGGCAGUAAGCUGGUGUAGUUGCAAGCAGAGCGUCGUGGCGGGAUCUACAUGUGAAGCGGAGUACAUGGCAGCCUCGGAGGCAGCGCAUGAAGCAAUUUGGGUGAAGGAGUUCAUCACCGACCUAGGAGUCAUACCCAAUGCGUCGGGGCCAAUCAAACUCUUCUGUGCCAACACUGGAGCCAUUGCACUUGCCAAGGAGCCCAGGUUUCACAAGAAGACCAGGCACAUCAAGCGUCGCUUCAACUCCAUUCGUGAAAAUGUUCAAGAUGGAGACAUAGAUAUUUGUAAAGUACAUACAGACCUGAAUGUAGCAGAUCCGUUGACUAAACCUCUCCCUAGAGCAAAACAUGAUCAACACCAGAAUUCCAUGGGUGUUCGAUUCAUCACAAUGUAACUAGAUUAUUGACUCUAGUGCAAGUGGGAGACUGUUGGAAAUAUGCCCUAGAGGCAAUAAUAAAAGGAUUAUUAUUAUAUUUCCUUGUUCAUGAUAAUUGUCUUUUUAUUCAUGCUAUAAUUGUGUUAUCCGGAAAUCGUAAUACAUGUGUGAAUACAUAGACACCGACAUGUCCCUAGUAAGCCUCUAGUUGACUAGCUCGUUGAUCAACAGAUAGUCAUGGUUUGCUGACUAUGGACAUUGGAUGUCAUUGAUAACGAGAUCACAUCAUUAGGAGAAUAUCUGAUGGACAAGACCCAAUCUUAACAUAGCACAAGAUCGUAUAGUUCGUUUGCUAGAGUUUUUCCAAUGUCAAGUAUCUUUUCCUUAGACCAUGAGAUCGUGUAACUCCCGGAUACCAUAGGAGUGCUUUGGGUGUACCAAACGUCACAACGUAACUGGGUGACUAUAAAGGUAUACUACGGGUAUCUCCGAAAGUGUCUGUUGGGUUGACACGGAUCAAGACUGGGAUUUGUCACUCCGUAUGACGGAGAGGUAUCUCUGGGCCCACUCGGUAAUGCAUCAUCAUAAUGAGCUCAAAGUGACCAAGUGUCUGGUCACGGGAUCAUGCAUUACGGUACGAGUAAAGUGACUUGCUGGUAAAGAUUGAACGAGGUAUUGGGAUACCGACGAUUGAAUCUCGAGCAAGUAACGUACCGAUUGACAAAGGGAAUUGUAUACGGGGUUGCUUGAAUCCUCGACAUCGUGGUUCAUCCGAUGAGAUCAUCGAGGAGCAUGUGGGAGCCAACAUGGGUAUCCAGAUCCUGUUGUUGGUUAUUAACCGGAGAGCCGUCUCGGUCAUGUCUACAUGUCUCCCGAACCCGUAGGGUCUACACACUUAAGGUUCGGUGACGCUAGGGUUGUAGAGAUAUGAAUAUGCAGUAACCCGAAAGUUGUUCGGAGUCCCGGAUGAGAUCCCGGACGUCACGAGGAGUUACGAAAUGGUCCAGAGGUGAAGAAUUAUAUAUAGGAAGUGAUGUUUCGGCCAUCGAGAGAGUUUUGGGGGUCACUGGUAUUGUACCGGGACCACCGGAUGGGUCCCGGGGGUCCACCGGGUGGGACCACCCAUCCCGGAGGGCCCCAUGGGCUGAAGUGGGGAGGGGAACCAGCCCAUAGUGGGCUGGUGCGCCCCCCUUGGCCCACCCCCUGCGCCUAGGGUUGGAAACCCUAGGGUGGGGGGGCGCCCCACUUGCCUUGGGGGCCACUCCACCCUUGGCCGCCGCCCCCCCUAGGAGAUCCCAUCUCCUAGGGCCGGCACCACCCCUUGGGGAGCCUAUAUAAAGGGGGGAGGGAGGGGCAGCCGCCCCCUUGACUCUUGGCGCCUCCCUCUCCCCUGCUACACCUCUCCCUCUCGCAGAAGAACGGCGAAGCCCUGCUGCGGUGACUGCUGCAUCCACCACCACGCCGUCGUGCUGCUGGAUCUUCAUCAACCUCUCCUUCCCCCUUGCUGGAUCAAGAAGGAGGAGACGUCACGCUGACCGUACGUGUGUUGAAUGCGGAGGUGCCGUCCGUUCGGCGCUAGGAUCUCCGGUGAUUUGGAUCACGACGAGUACGACUCCCUCAUCCCCGUUCUUUGAACGCUUCCACUCGCGAUCUACAAAGGUAUGUAGAUGCAUCCGAUCACUCGUUGCUAGAUGAACUCAUAGAUGGAUCUUGGUGAAAACGUAGGAUUUUUUUUUCUGCAACGUUCCCCAACACUAGCUACUAACUAUGGACCCGUGGGUCUGAUGUAAACUACUCACACUUCAUCGGAGGGGCUUGGAUGAUGAUGUAGAAGCCCUCCGUGAUCGAUGCCCCCUCCGUCGGAGCUCCGGAAUAGGCCCCAAGAUGGGAUCUCGUGGAUACAGAAAGUUGCGGCGGUGGAAUUAGGUUUUUGGCUCCGUAUCUGAUCGUUUGGGGGUACGUGGAUAUAUAUAGGAGGAAGAAGUACGUCGGUGGAGCAACAGGGGGCCCACGAGGGUGGAGGGAGCGCCUGGGGAGCAGGCGUGCCCCCUACCUCGUGGCCUCCUGUUAAUUGGCUUGACGUAGGGUCCAAGUCUCCUGAGUUGUAUUCGGUGAGAAAAUUACGUUCCCGAAGGUUUCAUUCCGUUUGGACUCCGUUUGAUAUUCCUUUUCUUUGAAACCCUAAAACAGGCAAAAAACAGCAAUUCUGGGCUGGGCCUCCGGUUAAUAGGUUAGUCCCAAAAAUAAAAUAAAAGUGGAUAAUAAAGCCCAAUAAUGUCCAAAAUAGUAGAUAAUAUAGCAUGGAGCAAUCAAAAAUUAUAGAUACGUUGGAGACGUAUCAUCCGUCGGUUACAUAAAUUAUAUGAAUUGUGGUGAUCUUUUAGUGAUUGUUUAUGUGGAUUGUGUGCGUGUCUAUGUCCAUUUGAUGAUCUUCGUAGUGUGAACACGGAGCAGUCGCAUGCACCGCGAAACGGGGUGGAUGGACCUCUUGACUGGCGCGCCACUUCAAUGUUUGAACGACAUGAGAGGUCACCUCCACUUUUGGUCGGCAUGAAUGCGACACUUGAGUGGCGUUGACCGCUUCAGGCGGGAAAGUGUGCAGACGAGGAAGAGGGUUUGGAUAUGCCAGGUUUAUCAAAUGCUUGCACGACAGUGAUCUGAACACCUGCAAAGCCCUACCUCGAUUUGCUUCUGGUUGACUACAAAAAGAGUUAAAUGCACUGGAGGUCCUAAAAGUUUCAUAGGUUUUUCACUUUAGUUCCAAUUCUUCCAAACUGCACCAUUAGUUCCUAUUUAGUAAGUGGUUCAUCCGAGGUCCUUUUUCUCACAAGCGCUCGCUGACCUGCCGCGUGGCGCGUUGACUGAUGCCACAUCGACUAAGGGCCCAACCGCUAGGCGAGAAAAAUACAUUGGAGGUCCUAAAAGUUUCUGGGGCAAUGUCACUUUAGUCCUACUUUUUCAAAAUUCAUGUUUGAUCCUAAUUCUAUAGUAAGUGGUUGACCCAGGUCCUAUUUUGCUCGAUCGUUCGCUGGCCUGCUUGCAUGACGUGUUGACCCAUGCCAUGUCAACUUAGAGGCCGCUGUGGUUGCUCUUUCUUGACACAAAGCCCCUUGUAACCCCCCUCUUGACAUUUCUCAUCCCCUGUCAAAUCUCUCUCUCUCUCUCUCGUGCCCACAACACUGCCAUGGCCAGGGCAGCAAGCUCCUUGGCAGGGAAGCGGGUGACGAAGAGGAGCGUUACAUCAUCAUCAGCGGCAUUGCCUCCUCCACAAGCUCCUACCGCAUAACCUCAAAUCAGAGCAAGCGUGUCGGCGUUCUGGGAACGGGGGUCCCCAGACUUGCCUGCCUGCGGCCUAUGGCGUGGCUCGAGUGGGGGCCCAGUGCGGCCCAGCUUCAUCAGCUCAAGCUCAAGACCCUCGCAAGGGGCCAAGCCUUGCGGGGCGGACGACAGGAGGCUUGCUCAGGAGCAGCCUCAUCAGGUAGGCUCGCGAGGAGGUGGAGAGAUCAAGGCAGGGGUGCCUCGCGAGGAGCCCGUGACGCAAGCCAUGACGAUCGAGAUUAGGCGGGCGCCGGCCUGCGCAGUGUCCUUGUUUCCCCUUCGGUGCAAAGGGAGCAAGCACAGGCCAAGGCAUCGGGUAAAGGUUACCAUUCCGGUGCAACGAGACCAAGACCAGUAGAGCGGCAGGACGGAGGUCACCGUGGAGCCCAAGAUGGCGUCAUCACCAGUGCUUUUGGCAGUCGAAGACCACCUUUGGUCAGGAUAACUUGUACUAGAUGUUCCUCUUCAAAAUGGCCAAUUGUUGGCGCCCUUCCCGCUCAUUAUUUGGGAAGAGGAGCAGGGCCUCUAUAAAUAGGACUAGCCCCUGAAGAGAGGAGGGAAGGGAGAAAAAGAAGGGAAAGGAGAUAGAGAAGAGAAAGAGAGAUCCGGACCAAGUAGAACACACCGCACCAGCUCAAGAACACCUCUUGCGAGGCCGUUCUUCCCCCUGUAUUGUUUAUCAUCAACCCCUGAGGCAAUCCACCACACCACACACUGGAUUUCUUGCGUGUUCUUCUUUCCAGCCUAGAUUUCCAGCCUAGAUUUCUUGCGAGACAUAGAAGCGCGAGUUGGUAGGGGAAAGAUCUUCGUGCGCACCCCAGAGUUUGAACCUUAAGGGUCCGCCGGAACUCGAAAUCCGAUAUUUGGCGCGCCAGGUAGGGGUGCGCCGGAAUAUUUCUUCCGUUGUUCGCGUGUGAUCUUCCGUCGUGUCCAUGGCUGACGCUCGUCGGGCUCGCACCGAGCGUCGGGCUGCUCUCGCCACCCGCGUCGCCCAGAUGGCGCCCGUCGUCGGACGCCCUCGUCGUUCCCCGUCGCCUGCCGCCAACACCGCCACCAGCCCGGUGGGGAACGAGCAGCAGGCCUCAUCCCAGCAUCCUUCGAUGUGGCGGGAGGGCCGCACCGCAACCCCGUCACUGACUCCAACCGGUUCGUUGUCCCACGCCCGUCGCGUCCCCACGAACGCGCACGCCACGCUGCUCCUGGUAAGAGAGCUCUUGCACUACCGCCCCGUCGACGACCUCUACGAGGACUGGGUCGCCCGCAUCACCGAGCUCGUCAGCGCCGCAGGGGGCUCUCCCUUGUCGUCCCUAUCACUGCCUCGCCCUCCAUUCCGCGCAGGGGGCGAGGAUCAGGAGGCGCCCCCGCCACCUCCUCCCCAAGAAGGCGCCCUGGCUCCAAGGCGCGCAGCCCCAGGGCGAGACCCUCCACGUCCGGUGCCUGCGCGGCAAGAAGGGAGCUGCCAAGAGAUCCCUCGUCCCCAAGAAGGUGCUCGCGCGCUCCCAGCACUGGCGCGCCAAGAUCGCGUCCCUGCGCCUCCACGCCGAGACCCCGCGCUGCUCCAAGCGGCAGCACAUGGUAAUCACCAGGAGCAGGCCCAACACCAGCAAAGGGCACCGGUGGCCACAGCAGGCUGUCGCGCCUUCACCCCUGAGCUACGCGGCGUCACAUGGCCAGGCAAGUUCAAGCCUGAUCUGCCCCCUCGCUACGAUGGCACGGCGGACCCCGCAGAAUUCCUGCAGCUCUACGAGCUAGGCAUUGAAGCCGCCAACGGAGACGAAAAGGUCAUGGCAAACUGGUUUCCCGUGGCGCUCAAGGACGGCGCCCGCACCUGGCUCCCAGCACGAUCUCCUCUUGGGACGAGAUGCGCACUCGCUUCAUCGCCAACUUCCAGGGCACUCGCGAUCGGCCCCCGGCCAUAAGCGACCUGCGCCGCAUCAAGCAACAGCUAGGGGAGACCCUACAGAAAUACAUCCAGCGCUUCAACAACGCUCGCCUCAAGAUCCCCAGGGUGACUGAGAAAGCCAUUAUCUCAGCCUUCUCCGAUGGCGUGCGCGACAUCAAGAUGAAGGAGGAGCUGGCAAUCCAUGAAGACCUGUGCACAUCCCUGGAGCUGUUCAACUUGGCGACCAAGUGCGCCAGGGCUGAGGAAGGAUGCCUCUCCCUCCUCGAGCUCCCAGCUGCCGACCCAGAAGAGAAAAAGCCCAAGGCCAAGGACGUGAAGCGUAAGGGAGCUACCGUGCUCGCAGCGGAACCAGACACCAAGCGAGGCAGGGAUCAGCCUGAGUCAUCCAAGCGCAACCGAUACUGCGUGUACCACGACCACCACACCCACAACACCAACGAAUGCUAAGAGCUCAGGGCCAUGUGAGAUGGGCGUAUCGGCCGACGCCCUGAGCGCAACGACAGGGGCUAUGGCCGAAGAGGAGCAAGAGGUGGAGGACGAUGGGAAGAUCGUUGCCCUCGCCAAGGGUGGCGUGACCGACCUCGCGAGGAUCGCUGGCAGGACCAGCCUCGCGAGGGAGGCUGGAGGGAUCAGCAUCGUGAGGUCGCCCGCACGGCAACGCAGGCCUCCCGCCUCUACCGCCACCAUCAAGAAGGAACGAAGACCAACAUCAAGACGAGGGGGCUGGGGGCUUCGAGGAGCAGCGCAAUCGCUUGCAUCUUGGGUGGCACCCAGGCCCCAGCAUCACAGUGCAUCUUCAAGCAGUUUGCUCGCGAGGUGAAUGCAGUCCUCCCCAAGCUUGAGGCCACGUGCCCUCUCAGGUGGUCUGCAUGCGCCAUCACGUUCAGCUCAGCGGAUCAGCUCAAGUGCGUGGCAAUGGCCGGAGUUCUCCCGAUGCUUUGCUCCCCAGUCAUCGGCAAUGUGCAGGUCACCAGGACCCUCGUUGAUGGCGGAGCAGGACUCAACGUCCUGUCCGUCAAGACGUUCGACAAUCUCCAAGUGCCGUAUGAUCAGCUCCAGCCGACCAAGCCUUUUUCAGGAGUCACUGAUGGUUCCACUGUUCCGAUAGGGCAAGUUCGCCCGCCAGUCACCUUCGGGCAGCGCAACAACUACCACACCGAGCUCAUCGACUUAGACGUCGCCCACAUUCGCCUACCAUACAAUGCCAUCCUCGGGUACCCAGCCCUAGCCAAGUUCAUGGCAGUGACUCACCACGGCUACAAUGUCCUCAAGAUGCCAGGAAGCGGUGGAGUCAUCACUGUACCCUGUGAGGAAAGGGACACGGUGUGUUCACUUGAGCGUGCAUUCCAAGCCGCAGCAAUCGAAGACCCAGAUCACAGGAGCGGAAGACUUCCCGAGGCGACCCUUAAGAAGAAGAAGGCUUCGCCUGGCCCAAGCCAUAAGGAGGCAGACGCCUCCAGAGGCGUUGCGUCAGGAUUUGCGCCCGUUUAGGGAGCGCCACCAUCUGUCGCAUAGGAAAGCGCGCCCGGCGCCCUCCUCGGGCAGGGCUCGGGGCUCUUUCUUGGAGAGCCACCAACUUUGCCAAGGUCACGAGGGAGGCGCUCGGGAACCACUUGGAGGGGUGCUUCCAGGCACGUUUCCCCCAGGAAGGUACGAGGCAAGGAAGAACAAACCCUCAGGAGUUCAUCGCAGGAAACACUCAGGAGCUACAGGAGUCGAGAGUCAUGCACGGCAGCCGCCGCUUGCCCGCCAUGGCCCCACAUCCAGGCGAGGAUGGUGGGCUGUGCGUCUGCAUCGAUGCGCCAGGGCUCAACCGAGCCGCAUCUUAGGAACGCCUCUGGCCUUCGUGCGUGGGGCGUUGCGAGGGUCCACCUCACAGCUACGUAGCAUGCCUUUCGGGAACGCGGUCGCCGCUCAUCAGCGCCUGCUGAGGAGCAUUCUGGAGGCUCGGGAGGUCAGACAUUAUGCGGUCCUCGCGGAGGUGGAGAUGGCCCUCGAAGACCUACCCGUGCCCCCGGAGCCUCCCGAGGCUCCUGGGCCUGGGGGCUCGUGAGGGUCGAUGUCUUCACCACGCGUCGCCCACUUCUUUGGCAUCACUUCAUCUUCAACGGCAUCAGGUGACAUCUUCCAAGUUCCAUUUUUAGCUGGGAGAGCCCACAGGGCCGCGUCAUUCCCAGGUCGCGUGGGUCCGUCCUUGCGGCACAUAUCCGUUUUGCUUAUGCUCUUUACCUACCUUGUUGGGGGCACCCCUCGGGCUGCAUCAUCCCCAAGCUGCUCGGGCCUGGCCCAGCGGCGUUUGCUUUUCCCGCAUCUACCUGAAACGGAUUUGCUCCUUCUUACUUAACAUACCUGACCUAAUCGCCUGCUCGAUUGAUAUCUACCCAUGGACCCGCUCACUCUGGCACGAAGUCUGCGUACGGGUCCGUCCCUGCAACGCUGAUAAAUCUGAGUGGUCGAGCUCUGGCCGCGGCAGCCCCGCAAGGCACCACCUCACCAGGCCCUCAGUGCCCCAAUCACUCCCUCGGAGCGACCAAUGGUUGGCUGGCAACCAUAGCGAUAGGUCUUGUCUCUCCUUGUGAUUGGUAUGCAAGACCCACUCCAGGAGAAACGUUGGGGACAUCGCGGGCUAUCUCUCCCUCUCUCCGGCAUGGACCGCUUGCACGUUAAAAGGGGGGCGCCUGACCAUGGCGACUCAUGGGCUCCUACUGGCUCUCCAGACCUCACCUCCUGGCCUUGACCCACGGCAUCGCGACCUGUCAUACCAGUGGCGGCUGAGAUCGCUCGAGGGCCGGGACCUGAGGACGUAGAGCAUUAAGGAUAGUGUGGGGAAGUGGGAAGAAGCUCGCGAGGACCUAACCCAGCAGCACCUCAGCUACCGCCACUGGGGCCGGGCGCCCCGUCGAAGAACUACCCCAAACUCAAAAGAUAAGUCACGCCCUUACAUGAGCUAGAACAACGCAACACCAAACCCUCUCCUAGUGCAGCUCUGUCACGACAACGUUGCCUUCCUUUCUCGCCCAGUGAGGGCUGCUCGAGCGCUAAAGGGGACCUCCCGAGCAUCGCCACUCGGGGGCUCUUACCGGACCUCGGGUCGCUCACCUCCUGGCCUUGACCAUGGCAUCGCGGUCUGGCAUACCAGCGACGGCUGAAGCCUGCCUGGGGACUGGGACUUGUUAGCGUAGAGCGCUAAGUCCUCGUGAGGAUAGAAAGGGGGAGCCGAGCCGGGACAGGACAAGCAUCUCGCAUCGAUUCAUAUUAGGGAUAUAAUGUUCGCAAAAGACAUGGCACGCGCCUUACAUACCCCCACGGGGUGUUGCUUCGAUUCCUCGCAGGGAACAAAUGGUGCUAAUCCUAAGGAACACUAAUUGUUCGCGCCUCCGCAAGCGAUGCCAUCAUCAACAGUGGACUGCCCGGCACCAGCGCCAACCCCACCCAGAUCAGUGGUGUCGGCGGCCCGAUGCAGUUGCCCUACUCCGAGCACGGCGCGAGCUCGGAGGCUCGUAGCUGUCGUCGCUCGUCUCCGGAGUCAUGAGAAGCUCGGGGGAGCCGCUGGAUUCCCCAGCUCCUCUGCUGCCGCCUGAAGAGCUGCUGGAGGGCCGAUGGACAGGCCAGGUCCUCGCUAGUCCGAUGCCCCUACCGCUUUCCUUGGGGCAGCACUCCAACCGGCGUCCUUCAGCAUCGAAGACCUUGAAGAACAUCAGGGAGGCAUCGUCGUUUUCAAGAUGAAUUAUGAGGGCACCCUCCGUCCGGCAGACCCGUGCGAUCUCACCCCAGCCCCGGGUCAUGUAGACCUUGCCCGGAGCGGCGACCGCGACCUCCCCUCCGGUCGCGAGGGUGCUGCAGUCGGCGUGCUGCAGCCAAAGCUCCAGACACCCGCUCGGCGGCAUCUCGAAGGCGAAGGAGGGAGGAAGGCGGAUCCAAGAGCAUGGGGGCAUGGCGGUGUGAAGCACGAGCUCACAGGAGGAGCCCUCGGUGUGGACUCCAGGAGGAACGACGCGCACCGUCGUGACUCGCCGGCGUCGGCGGUGGCACCGUCAGUGUCGCUCGACGCCCUCUUCCCUAGGGCCCUCGAUUCGGGCGUACAAGGGCAGUGGAAACCCAGGCGGCAGCCGCUUGUACCAGGGCCUCGAUGCCUCCUGCCAAGCAACCUCAUCUCAGCGGCAGGGGACUAGCCAUUUCUUCGGCGGAAGAGGGUCAAGACCUUCUCGGGGGGCCUUUCCUUUCUCUUCUGCAGAAAACCGGCGGAUUGGUGCCAUUGGCGUAAGGAGAAGCAAGGACGAGGAAGAGGAAGGAAAGGAGUAGCAGGAAGGGAUAAGCUAACGAGGCUCAUGCAGCCCCGUACUUAUAGCCGGAGAAGGCCAACCGUCGGCCACCACGAUCGCAGGUAAUCAUGACCCAUUUCUCUGCAUGCAGGGACUUGUCAAGUUGAGCGGUUGCCGAUGCAUCGUGGGGAAGCGCAGACGCCCAUGUCCAACCAAUCGCCACGCGGAACCCAAGGCCGCAGGAUAUUGGGGCCCGCGGCGCUUCGCGCUUGCCCCUUCACUUCUCUGCUAAGCCAAGCCCGGGCGCGCCUCGGGCCCGGGGGCUACUGUCGGCAUUCUGGGAACGGGGGUCCCCAGACUUGCCUGCCUGCGGCCUGCGGCAUGGCUCGAGUGGGGGCCCAGUGCGGCCCAGCUUCAUCAGCUCAAGCUCAAGACCCUCGCAAGGGGCCAAGCCUUGCGGGGCAGACGACAGGAGGCUUCCUCAGGAGCAGCCUCAUCAGGCAGGCUCGCGAGGAGGCGGAGAGAUCAAGGCAGGGGUGCCUCGCGAGGAGCCCGUGACGCAAGCCAUGAUGAUCGAGAUUAGGUGGGCGCCAGGCGGGCGCCGGCCUACGCAGUGUCCUUGUUUCCCCUUUAGUGCAAAGGGAGCAAGCACAGGCCAAGGCAUCGGGCAAAGGUUACCAUUCCAAUGCAACGAGACCAAGACCAGCAGAGCGGCAGGACGGAGGUCACCAUGGAGCCCAAGACGACGUCAUCAUCAGUUCUUUUGGCAGCCGAAGACCACCUUUGGUCAGGAUAACUUGUACUAGAUGUUCCCCUUCAAAAUGGCCAAAUGUUGGCGCACUUCCCGCUCAUUAUUUGGGAAGAGGACCAGGGCCUCUAUAAAUAGGACUAGCCCCCGAAGAGAGGAGGGAAGGGAGAAAAAGAAGGGAAAGGAGAGAGAGAAGAGAAAGAGAGAAAGAGAGAUCCGGACCAAGUAGAACACACCAAACCAGCUCAAGAACACCUCUCGCGAGGCCGUUCUUCCCCCUGUAUUGUUCAUCAUCAGCCCAUGAGGCAAUCCACCACACCACACACUGGAGUAGGGUAUUACACCACAUCGGUGGACCGAACCAGUAUAAACCUCGUGUCCUUUGUGUGUUCUUCUUUACAGCCUAGAUUUCUUGCGAGCCAUAGAAGCGCGAGUCGGUAGGGGAAAGAUCUUCGUGCGCACCCCAGAGUUCAAACCUUAAGGGUCUGCCGGAACCCAAAAUCCGACCAAGCAGUUUGAGAAACUUAAUGAAACAGUGCAAAUCAAACUAAAUCAAUGCCUACAUGUAGUGAUUGUGGUAGAGUAGAGAAAAUCACAUAGCCGUGUCCAGUGAUUUUCACCCAACCGGUGUGCACGGGGUGUCCAGUAACUUUUGUUGUACCCUGUGCGCACGGGGGUCAGAUACCACGUGCACACGGGUGAGGGAGUCCUGGACUAAGGGGUCCUCGGGCGUUCGGCUUGUUAUCUAUGGGCUGGACUGAUGGGCUAUGAACACGUGAAGACCGAAGACUACACCCGUGUCCGUAUAGGACUCUUCUUGGCGUGGAAGGCAAGCUUAGCGAACAACUAUGAAGAUUCCAUCUUAUGUAACCGACUCUAUGUAACCCUAGAUCCCCUCGGUGUCUAUAUAAACCGGAGGGUUUAGUCCGAAUAGGAUGGACUCAAUACCUUGGUCAUACAGGCUAGACUUCUAGGGUUUAGCCAUUACGUUCUCGUGGUAGAUCAACUCUUGUAAUACUCGUAUUCAUCAAUAUCAAUCAAGCAGGACAUGGGGUAUUACCUCCAUUAAGAGGGCUCGAACCUGGGUAAAACUUCGUGUCCCCUGUCUCCUGUUACUGUCAACCUUAGACGCAUAGUUCGGGACCCCCUACCUGAGAUCCGCCGGUUUUGACACCGACAUUGGUGCUUUCAUUGAGAGUUUCGUUGUGCUGUCGUUAAAAGGUUUGCUGGCCCCUUCAAUCGUCAAUAAUGGCGCUGUCUAUGGAGAAGCUUUCCUCCUCAGACAGAUCUUCGUGUUCGGCGGCUUCGCACUGCGGGCAAACUCAUUUGGCCAUAUGGAGCAGAUCGAAAGCUACGCCCCUGGCCAUCAGGUCAGAUUCGGGAGCUUGAACUAUGCCAUGGACAUCCGUGGAGACUUGAUCUUCGCUGGAUUCGAUACCACAGUAGCCGCUCCCGAUCACCCUGAUGAUCAUGACCUAAAUCUGUCAUCGGGCCGCAUCCAGGAGAUCGCUCCUGUAACCGCUCUAGCCCUAUAGCCGGAGCAGGCCGCGCCAUCCAAAGACGAGAAGAUUAACCCCACCACAGAGGCGGGAGGCCGCAGAUCCCACGGCGUUGGAGCCGCACAUGGACCUGGCCUCACUCGACGCCUAUGCCACCGAAACACUGGACUCAUCUCCGGCUGUAGGUUCCGAACCACGCGAGCCCGCGGAUGUCGUGCUUGAUUGUUUAUCGAUCUUCGAAUUCAGCACCGCAGACAUCUUCCAUCACUCGCCUUUGGGCGACGUGCCAAACUCAUUAAAAAACAUGUCCUUGGUGGAGGGCUCUUGGCUGAGCUAUAUCCGGCUCGAGCUAGGGGCUGACGAUGGAGAAUUUUGCUUCCCACCUGCCACCCACUUCAUAGCAACAGUCGAGGAUUCGACCGAAACACUGGAUUACAACUCCGAGAAUAUUGACGGCAUGGACAAUGAUGCCGAAGACAACGAAGACCCCAUUGAUACAAUUAACGAUGAACGGGACGACAGGCAGGAUAGCCCCGGUAAACAGGCCACGCAUGAAGAUUCGGAGGAUGACAAUUACCUUCCACUCUCUGAGGAUGAGGAGAGCCUCGGUGCCGAAGAUUUCAUCGUGCCUGAGAACCUUGUGAGCAGGAGCGCCUAAAGCGCCAACUAAUAGCCACUGCAAGGAGCCUGAAGAAGAAGAAGCGGCAGCUUCAAGCUGACCAAGAUCUGCUUAAUGAUAGAUGGACCAAAGUCCUAGCCGCCGAAAAAUACGGCCUUGGUGGCCCAGCCAAAAGCUACCCGAAGCAUAUACCGCUACCCCAGGGCGACGAUAAGGCGUUCGAGCCCGUGCGAUCAUCGCACAAUGCGGCAGGUCGACCACAACUUGGUCCGGUUAAAGCGGCAACUCAAGCCGAACAACAGACGGCCCCACCUCGCUGUAAAGGCAAGAACAAAACAGCUCAAGGUUGUACAUACAACCUUCAACAGGGCUGGGGCAGUAAAACAGGAUACCCAAGAGCGAUCUACGAAUCGCAAGGACACACCUCGACACGUGACGACGACCACCUAUUCAGACGCGACAAACCUAGCCACGCCUGGGUUGAAAACCACAAAUGGACUCUGUCAGAGGUACGCCGCAGUGUGGCCCAACAUAGAGGCACCGCACACCCUCUAUGCUUCAUAAAUGAAGUAAUGGAGCAUGAAUUCCCAGUCGGGUUCAAACCCAUGAAUAUCGAAUCAUAUGAUGGAACAACGGAUCCCGGGGUAUGGAUUGAGGAUUUCCUCCAUCAAAUCCACAUGGCCUGCGGAGAUGACCUUCACGCCAUCAAAUACCUACCACUAAAACUCAAAGGACCAGCUCGGUACUGGUUAAACAGUCUGCCGGAAAAUUCUAUUGGUAGCUGGGAGGACUUGGAGGACGCCUUUCGCAACAACUUCCAAGGAACAUAUGUCCGGCCACCGGACGCCGAUGACCUAAGUAAUAUUGUCCAGCAGCCCGGAGAGUCGGCAAGGAAGCUCUGGACCAGGUUCUUAGUUAAAAAGAACCAAAUCAUCGACUGUCCGAACGUGGAAGCCUUUGCGGCCUUCACACACAGCGUCCGGGAUGAAUGGCUUGCAUGCCACCUCGGUCAAGAAGGACCUAGAUCCAUGACAGCCCUUACCGCUCUAAUGACCCGCUUUUGCGUGGGAGAAGACAGCUGGCUCGCUUGUAGAAGUAAUAGCACUAGCGACUCGGGCACUUCCGAAAUCCGAGAUGGCAAUGGCAAGCCACGACGAAGCAAAUACAACAGUCGCAAUGAUAAUGAUAGAUCACGCGACACAGCGGUUAACGCCAGAUUCAGCAAUCCCAAGCCCGGUCAACGGAAAAAGCCAUUCAAGGCGAAUAGAGACGGACCAUCCAACCUAGAUAGGAUACUAGACCGACCUUGCCAGAUACACGGCCACCCCAACAAACCAGCCAAUCAUACCAACAGAAGUUGUUGGGUCCUCAAGCAGGCCGGCAAGCUCAACACCGAACAAAAGGGAAGGGGGCCGCAAGCCAAUAGGGACGACGGAAUGGUUCAAUAGCCAAAUGCAGAGGGCCAGAAGCAACUUCCCCCCGAAGAUCGAUCAAAUCCGGAGAAAUAGCAGUUCGGCUUCCGCCACCCAUCUCAUAUACACGAUGAAGCUAUACCAUGUGUCGUGGAUUUGUCACGGCAGGUGUCCUAGCGAAAGGACUUAGUCGUGGAGCCAUCGCUACGAGUUUACUUGAAGGGGUUAAAGCGGACACAAAGACACGAGGGUUUUAUACUAGUUCGGCCCCUUCGAUGAAGGUAACAGCCUACGUCUAGUUGUGGUGGAAUUGAUAUGAUCUCGAUGGCUAGGGAGCAAACAAGCUUUGCCUAGGCUCGAGUUGUUGUUGUCUCCCUUGAACCGCCGCCGGGUCGUCCCCUUAUAUACACGGGUGACGCCCGUCGGUCCAUAGAGUCCCAGCCGGUUCAUAUUCGUAUCCCGGUCGGUAUCUCUCUAUUCCUAACUUACAAUACAAGUUAUACAUCAGGUCGGUUUACAGCUACAGAUUCUAAACCGACUAUAGGCCUUGGGCCUUCACCUGCUUAUACCACUAUGAAGUUAACCCGGCCCAAGUAGGCCGGUUUACGCCCAGUGGUAAUAUCCCCAACAUUAGGCCCCAGAUUGAUUUGAACUGGUUCAUGUCAAUCCUUCACACCAUCUUGCGUCUUGGAUGUCUUCUGUUAAUUGGCAAAUCUCCAUGUCGUCAUCAUUUUUGGUUGCUGUAAACCGGCAUGACGUCAUCAGUUUUGGCUACUAUAAACCGGCAUGACGUCAUUAUGAAAUUCAUAACGCCCUCUUAAUGACAGCUCCUGGAUUCGCGCGUUUGACCUAGCUCAGUUGCCUUAUAAAUAAGACCGAAGGGUCAUUUCCUUUCUCUUCCCCUUCGUCCCUUCUUCUUCUUCUUCCUCACGUCGCCGGCUUUGGAGCUCCGCCACCACCGUCGACCUCUGCCUCGUCUCAGGCUGCUGCAUCAACCUGUACGUACCAGAGUGUUGCGGCGUCUUUCCGCAUCUUCUCCGUUCCCGGCAAGUCCUCUCUCCUUCUUAAUCUAGAUCUGUUCUUAGGGUUUCAUGUUCUUGCUAUGUUCAUUGCGUGUUCAUGGCUGUUCUCUGUCCCUGAAUGCAUCUGUGAACUUUUACUGUGCUUAAUAGCGAUCCCUUUAGUAUCCGCUUGCUAUUUCUCAUCCAAGCUCAUAAAUCUCCUGCACAUAUCUGCUCGAUAGUUCACUUCUGUUUCCGCCUUAGUCUUCGAAAUUUUUCCUGUUUUUUAUGAGCUUGUUGUAGAUCCGCGGCUGUAACAUAAUUUUGUGAAACUUGUUUCUGCAUAACCAGUUAUCCAUAGUUUCAAUUGCUUCCGAUGCUUAGGCCAGGCGGUUUAACUUCACCAUAGAGAAAAAAUUACUAGACCGGUAUAUAUGUCAUUAGUCCCCUGGUUGAACCGCCAGAAUCCAUCUGAUGCUGCAUUGUAGAAGACCGGUUUAUGGGUACUGCCCCCGGUUUACCGUAAUUAGAUCAACACCGUUUCAUCCGGCAUGUUCUUGAACCGGAUCACUUAUUUCUUGUAGAUCUCAUCAUGGCCAAACAAGUGUACGAGUGCAACUGGGUUCCCUCCCGUGUCACAGAAUCACAGCUGAACGAUCUAGUCCUGAUUGGCGCUUUGGAUAGCAAAGACACGAUUCAUUGGAGGGUUCCUGGAGAUGAAUGUCCUCCUACACCCCAGGAAGGAGAGGUCGUGGUCUUCACAGAUCAUAUGGCCCGGGGCUUCAAACCGCCCGGCUCCAAAUUUUAUCGGGAUGUAUUAGCCAACUUUCAACUCCGCCCACAGGAUAUUGGCCCCAACUCCGUCACCAAUCUAUGCCAUUUUCAAGUACUUUCUGAGGCAUACCUUCAAGAGGAGCCUUCCGUCGAGUUAUUUAGAGAUCUCUUUCAUCUGAACCGCCGUACUGAAUUCACUGACGGCCCUAAUACCGAACUGGGCGGUAUGGCCAUUCAGAAGAGGAAAGAAAUCACCUACCCUCACGUCAAACUCCAUACGCACCCCAAAGAAUGGAACGUGAGUUGGUUUUAUUGCAAGGAUACAUCUCCUGACAAUGAAAAUCCCUUGCCUGGCUUCCGUCCAGAACGGCUCAGCAACACUCACCCUUUUCCACAAAGGCUAAGCGCCAAGGAGAGAAUUAAAUAUGCUCCUCAACUGUCCAAGCUCCGGGCCUUCAUGGCCAAUGGUUUAACAGGAAUAGACCUUGCACGCUGCUGGAUAUCAUGGAGCAUUUUGCAUCUAAGCCGGCGCCCAAAUUUGAUGUGUGAGUAUACUGAUAGUGUCGAUGACCCACUCCGACACACUAAAAUCCAACUCCCUGAGGACGAAGUCACAGAAUCUGUGAAAAAGAUGCUGAAUGAACCGGAGCACCUCUGUGCUCAAACCGGUCUGCUUCCUUACUGCACCACCAACAAACCACCAGCGGUAAUAUUUCAAUUGCUCUAUUGUUGAACCGGUUUACUAUUUUAUACGUUCAACGUUUUAAUUGCUGCUGAUCCAGGGUGAUAAUCCAUUCUGGAGUAAGAAACUUCCUCAAGACAAAACGGAGAAGGCAGGACGGCCAACCCGGCCCAAGACCAAGGUUAUCAAGAAACCAGCUCAUAAGAGAAAAACCACCGCUUCUUCUGACCCAGCUAUUGAUGAUGAUGUGGGUAAUCCGGAUCUUGAGGUAGAACUUGAUUCACUUGGCUUACUUUUUACACGCCUUAUUGAUGAUGAUGUUUGUCAGGAUGAUGCUUAAGCCAGCAAUGCGGUUUUCGUUGAGGUAACCAUUCUCUCUUCCGAUUCAGAAAUCUUGCCUUUGCCAAAAUUUCGCCGGGCAAACCGGAAAGUUAAAUUUUCUCAUCCUCUUGCUUAUCUGGAUUCCCAAUUUCUUAUGAAGACCCAGCAACACGAAGCUCACCGCACAACCCAGCACAGUGGCCAGGUAGUUACCUCUGCCGGUUUACCAAACAGUCCGGUUCGAAAACGCCGCUUCGAGGUCUCCGACAUUUUUAUUGAUUUAAAUCGUAAAGCGGGUUUCUUCCGUCAACCUCUUAAUCCAUCCGACUCCGAUUAUCAGGUCACUUCUCAUUCAUCAUCUGGUGAAUCAUCGGCCACCCAGCUACCACCUUUGAAAACAGUUGCUGGGUAAGUUAAACCGAACAUAUGCUUCCAGUAUACUGCGCAAUGGUUUACACUUUUCCUUAAUUUUUAUCUUUUCUUCCAGGGCUAAACCGAAACCAAGCAAGAAGGCCCGCCUGGAUAAAGCGGCUGAAGAGAAUGUGGCCCCAGAACAUGACCAAGCGCCGGAUCGUGAAAUGUUUACUUCUGAAGAUAUCCCCAAUGAUCCUCCUCUGCAAGACAACAUUAUCCCUGAAGAAGGUCUUAUUAAUACUCCAGCGUCUGCUGAUCCACCUGCCAGCUCUGUCCAGAUGGAGAAAUCCCACACUCCUGCUGACAAAACGGCCGCACCAACCCAAACCGGCGAGUCAAAAGAUGAUGAUGUUGUGAUUACUGGUGUAGGCCGCUCUGAACCCGGGAAUCCUGCCACCCUUACCAGGCAUAUCAUGAAAGAGGAUUCUUCCCCUUUGAACAAAGGAAAAUGGGAUGUUGAAUUAGAAACAUAUGCCGCUCUGAAUGCUCAAGAUCUUCACUCUGGCUAUUUGAACCGGCUUUACACUAGCCGUGACUGUGAAGCUGGCCUGGUCAAAAUGAUGAGGGAUAAAUUUGAGGUAAAUUCCUUCUUUCUUUUCUGCCAUUGCAUUCAUCCCGGUAGCCCCCAAGGGCCGGUUUGUGACCUUGGUAAAACCGGGACUUGAUCCUGAAUAUAUAUUUUGUGAAAUCCGUCGGCAUAACCCUCGAGGGCCGGUUUAGCAUAAGCAAACCGGGGCUAAAAAAUAAAAAGUUGUCCUUAGAACAUAACUUGAUCAAAUAGCCAUUAGCCCCCAAGUGCCAAGUUGAAUACUUGUAUUGAGCUUGGGACUUUGUAAUCGAGCAAUAUACAAAAAAUUGAAGGUACAUUAGCCCCCAAGUAUCAGGCAUAUAACUUUGUUAUGUGGUUGAUACUUCAAUUUCUUGGCUCGCCUGUGUAAAGCUUUAAAAUGCCAUCUGUAUGCAGGCUGAGAUUAAAAUCAAGGAGGCCCUGAAGACCCAGCAAGCUGAAACAGAUAAAACCAAGCAAGAAUUAACCAGCGCUUUGAACACUGCGGAACGACUGAAAGAAAGUUUCAAGAAAGAGCGGGCUGACUGGGCCACUGAGAAGGCCGGUUUAACCAAAAGAGCAGAACAUGCUGAAGCGGCCCUUAAACCGGUGGUGGAUGAACUGACGGCCGUACAGCGACAAAUACACUCUAUGACUGCUGCAAUCUUUGGUAAACUCCUUGUAACUUCUGUGAUGAAUUUGAAUCUUCUGUAUCGUAAGUCCGGUUUGAGACCAUUCCAAUCUUGUUGUAGGCACACGUAUUGGGCACUUAGGAAAUGAUGUGCGGAAGAAAUUGAAAGCUGCCUACACCUUGGUAGAACAAUUGUAUACCGGAGCCCAACGGAUCAUCACCACAGCUUCUCACAACAACCCGGCGCCCUCUUUAAUCCAGGACACUCUUAGCAAGUUGUCAAUGCUUCCAGCCCGGAUUGAGGAGCUGAAAAAAUCUGCUGCCCGAACCGGAGCCAUCAAUGCCUUAAUCCGGGCAAAGGCAUGGGUGCCCGACUUUGAUCCUGUGGAAGCAGCUCAAGGCUAUCCCAGUCUGAAAGAAGAUGGCUCUGAGUUCAACGAAGAAGAUUUAAGGGCCAUAAACCGUGCAGUGUGCCCUCUUGCUUGCCAGUUAGCUGAAGAGGCAGAUUUGACGCAUUAUCAAGCGCAAUAUAACAAUCAAAACAAGCGAGUGCCUGCCCCAACUGUUGAAGCGGAGAAUCUGAUUCCUCCAAUCCGUAAGCACACUUACGCCCCUGAUAUUGAACCGUCUUCCCUGAUCCAUGAAGAAGCUGUUUUCCAAGCUUUAAUGGGAAUCGACUGGACCACUGUUGAUUUCCAGCCAAUGGGUAGAGACGAGGAAGCUGAAGCGGCGGAGGAUGAGGAGCAGGCUUGAACCGGAAGCCGGUUUGAAGAACUAUCUGCAACAUCCUUCCACAAAAACAAUGAUUUUGUUUGGGCACCAUGCUGCCUUGUAAUAGGAUAGUUAAAACUUCUGCCUGGAAUAUGCCUUCGUGCAUAAGUACUGAAGCUUUUGCUUGAAAAACUUUAAUUCCUAUUUCCUGCAAUCAGAAAAAUUUGAACUGCCAUGUUUGGGUAUAAAGCUAGCUUAUCCAAGCCUGAAGCGGUGGUUUUUAUAAACCAUUACCGUCAAAAAGGGAGAAAGUAGCCCCCGUACAAACCGUACUGACUUAAUACGAGCCCCUGGUUACUCCAUGAUGUGAACAGGGAAAAGGUAAACCGGGCAGAAUCCUCCGGAUUAGAAGGGGGACCAAAAAUCAUUGGCUGACCCGGAAGAAAUAUACUUGUUGACAUAAAAAAUCCAACAAAAAACGAACAAACCAUGGAAGCAAAAGUAAUAAAGAAAACCAUUUGCAAAAAUAUGCUAUACUGAGCUAUUCAGAUGGCAUUACCAUGGUCGGACAGGAUCAAGGCCCCCAAUAGGAGUGACAAUGAUGCAGGUCAGCCAGGUCCCCAAAUGACUCGUGGCAUAUAUGCCAGAUCAAGAGGCGUAGCAAUGGCUCCGGCCCGACCAUGCUCCCAAAUGAUUUUGUGGCCUUAGGCCGACCAAGAGGCGUGACUGGUUCAGACUUGACCAAGUCCCCAAAUGAUCUGGUGGCUGUCGCCUAUCAAAGGGUGUUCGUUGGUUCGGACACGACCAAGGCCCCUAGUGAUAUAUAAAAACAAAUAUCAAGGGGUAAACCAGAGGCCGCUUUUAAACAGAACCACUCCGUGUAACCUCGCAUGAUGAGACAGACAGAGACCCCGCUUCAGCUGAGGCUCCGGUUUAAUAUAUCAAAGAUAAUAUAUACAUUGUCAUGAUAUGUACAUAGAUAGAGCCAAUGGCUCAAGUAUAGUAAGGCCGAAGAUGAGCUAUAUUCCACGGUCUGCCGGUCUCCUCCUCUGAUGUAUGUGAGUCUUGAUGCUCUCGAAUAUCAAUCAGAUAAUACGACCCGUUGUGCAGAUUCUUGCUGACUACAAAAGGUCCCUCCCAAGGUGGGGAUAACUUGUGCAUAUCCGUUUGAUCUUGGAUGAAUCGAAGCACCAAAUCUCCUUGAAAAGUUCUGGUUCUAACCCGGCAACUGUGAUAGCGACGAAGAUCUUGUUGGUAAAUCGCUGAACGGGCAGCCGCUAUAUCACGCUCCUCGUCCAAUAGGUCCAAAGCAUCUUGUCGUGCUGUCUCAUUGUCUGCUUCAACAUAAGCUGCCACCCGAGGCGAAUCGUGCCGGAUGUCACUAGGGAGAACUGCCUCUGCUCCAUAGACCAUGAAAAAUGGCGUGUAUCCUGUGGACCGGUUUGGUGUAGUAUUGAUACUCCAUAAUACAGAUGGCAGCUCUUCAACCCAACAUCCUGGUGUUCUUUGCAAUGGGACCAAAAGCCGGGGUUUGAUGCCUCGCAAGAUUUCCUGAUUAGCUCGUUCUGCUUGUCCAUUGGACUGGGGGUGUGCCACUGAUGACACAUUAAGUCGGAUGUGCUCACGUUCACAGAACUCCUUCAUAGCGCCCUUGGAUAAAUUGGUACCAUUAUCAGUAAUGAUACUGUGUGGAAAACCAAACCGGAAAAUCACCUUCUUGAUGAACUGUACCGCUGUUGCUGCAUCACACUUGCUGACAGGCUCUGCUUCAACCCACUUGGUAAAUUUAUCAACUGCCACCAAAAGGUGAGUUUUCUUAUCCUUGGAUCUUUUAAAAGGUCCAACCAUGUCUAGCCCCCAAGUUGCAAACGGCCAUGUUAUUGGGAUCAUCCUCAAUUCCUGAGCCGGCACAUGAGCACGCCUUGAAAAUUUCUGACAUCCAUCACACCGUUUAACCAAGUCCUCCGCGUCAGCAUGCGCUGUCAACCAGUAGAACCCGUGACGAAACGCCUUUGCAACCAGGGACUUUGAACCGGCAUGGUGCCCACAAUCCCCUUCAUGGAUUUCUCUUAAGAUUUCACAGCCUUCCUCAGGAGAAACACAACGUUGAAAUGCCCCUGAUACACUGCAAUGAUGUAAUUCACCAUUGACAAUCGUCAUAGACUUGGAUCGCCGGACUAUCUGCCUGGCCAGAAUCUCAUCCUCUGGCAACUCCCCCCUUGUCAUGUACGCAAGAUAAGGAACUGUCCAAUCCGGAAUAACACGUAGAGCUGCCACCAAUUGGGACUCCGGAUCAGGAAUAACCAAAUUCGCUUCACCUGGGAGCUUGACUGACGGGUUGUGCAACACAUCCAAAAAGACGUUAGGCGGAACCGGUUUACGCUGAGAGCCCAACCGGCUUAAAGCAUCCGCCGCUUCAUUCUUCCGACGGUCCACAUGAUCCACUUGAUAACCCUUGAAACAACCUGCAAUAUUAUCCACUUCCCGACGGUAUGCAGCCAUGAGCGGGUCUUUAGAGUCCCAAGUGCCGGACACCUGUUGAGCCACUAGGUCCAAGUCACCAAAACACUUAACCCGGCUUAAAUUCAUCUCUUUAGCCAUCCGCAGACCAUGGAGCAAGGCUUCAUACUCAGCUGCAUUAUUAGUACAAGGGAACAUUAAGCGGAGAACAUAACAGAACUUAUCACCUCGUGGGGAAGUUAAUACGACUCCAGCCCCCGAGCCUUCCAAUUGCCUGGAUCCGUCAAAAUGAAUGGUCCAAUAUGUGUGAUCCGGCUUCUCCUCUGGUGCCUGUAAUUCCGUACAAUCAUUGAUAAAAUCAACAAGUGCUUGAGACUUCACUGCCGUCCGAGGCACGUACUUCAGUCCGUGCGGCCCCAGCUCUAUAGCCCACUUGGCAAUUCGGCCAGUCGCCUCCCGAUUCUGUAUAAUAUCACCCAAGGGAGCUGAACUGACCACUGUGAUGGGGUGCCCUUGAAAAUACUGCUUCAACUUCUGACUGGCCAUAAAAACACCAUAGACCAGCUUCUGCCAAUGCGGAUACCUUUGCUUGGAUUCAAUCAACACCUCACUGAUAUAAUAAACCGGCCGCUGAACCGGAUAUUCCUUGCCUGCUUCUUUGCGCUCCACCACAAUAGCCACGCUAACUGCCCGAGCAUUAGCCGCUACGUAUAAUAAUAGUGGCUCCUUGUCGACCGGAGCUGCAAGAACAGGCGGAUUGGCUAACUGCCGCUUCAGGUCCUCAAAUGCCUCGUCAGCAGCUGGACUCCAGAUGAAAUUGUCUGUCUUCCUCAGCAUUUGGUACAAAGGGAUAGCCUUCUCCCCGAGGCGGCUGAUAAACCGGCUCAGCGCAGCGAUUCGGCCCGCCAAACGCUGAACAUCAUUGAUACACUCCGGUUUAGCUAGAGAUGUAAUAGCCGUAAUCUUCUCCGGAUUAGCCUCAAUUCCUCUGUUAGACACCAAGAAACCCAGUAACUUGCCUGCUGGAACACCAAAAACACACUUGGCCGGAUUAAGCAUCAUCUUGUAAGCUCGCAAGUUGUCAAAGGUCUCCUUCAAAUCAUCCACCAGUGUCUCCUUCUGCCUUGAUUUUACUACAAUAUCAUCCACAUAUGCGUGCACAUUGCGGCCGAUCUGCUCAUACAGGCAAUUCUGUACACACCGUUGAUAGGUGGCUUGGGCACUCUUGAGCCUGAAGGGCAUAGAUACAUAGCAGAAGGCUCCAAAGGGAGUGAUGAAUGCUGUUUUCUCCUGGUCUUUAACCGCCAUCUUGAUCUGAUGAUAUCCAGAGUAUGCAUCCAAAAAACUCAAACGCUCACAACCCGCCGUGGCAUCAAUGAUCUGAUCAAUACGGGGGAGGGCAAAAGGGUCUGCCGGACAGGCUUUGUUAAGAUCUGUGUAAUCCACACACAUCCGCCAAGUGCCAUUUUUCUUAAGAACCAGCACCGGAUUAGCAAGCCACUCUGGAUGGAACACCUCAAUAAUAAACCCAGCUGCUAAAAGCCUGGCCACUUCCUCUCCAAUGGCCUUGCGUCUUUCUUCGUUAAACAGGCGGAGGAACUGUUUCACCGGUUUAUACUUAGGAUCCACAUUAAGAGUGUGCUCAGCGAGUUCCCUCAGUACACCUGGCAUGUCAGACGGCUUCCAUGCAAAAAUGUCCCGAUUCUCACGGAUGAACUCGAUGAGCGCGCUUUCCUAUUUGGGAUCUAGGUUGGCACUGAUAGUGAACUGCUUGGAUGAAUCGCCGGGCACGAAGUCAACAAGCUUGGUCUCAGCUGCCGAUUUGAACUUUAGAUCUGAAUCAUGCUCUGUAGUUGGCUUCUUUAAAGGGGUCAUAUCUGCCGGAUCAACAUUGUCCUUAUAAUACUUCAACUCCUCUGUGGCACAGACUGGCUCUGCAUAAGCCGCAUCACCUUCCUCACAUUCCAAAGCGACCCUACGGCUCCCAUGAACCGUUAUGGUCCCCUUGUAACCCGGCAUCUUGAGCUGCAAGUAGAUAUAACAAGGCCGCGCCAUGAACUUGGCGUAAGCCGGCCGGCCAAACAAGGCGUGAUACGGGCUCCGGAUCUUCACCACCUCAAAUGUUAGUUUUUCCGACCGGGAGUCGUGCUCGUCCCCAAAGGCCACAUCUAGGGCUAUCUUACCAAUAGGAUAUGCAGAUUUUCCUGGCACAACACCAUGGAAUACCGUAUUCGACGGUCUGAGAUCCUUGUCUGUUAGUCCCAUGCGCCGGAAUAUCUCAUAGUAUAGUAUGUUAAUACUGCUUCCUCCAUCCAUGAGUACCUUGGUGAAUUUAUAACCCCCCACCUGAGGGUCUACCACUAAUGCAAGCUGGCCCGGGUUAUCAACCCGGGGCGGGUGAUCCUCUCUGCUCCACACGAUAGGCUGCUCCGACCAGCGCAAGUAACGUGGUAAGGCCGGUUCAACAGAAUUCACCGCUUGCUUGUGGAGUUUUCGGUCGCGCUUACCCAAACUAGUUGUGAAAACAUGAUAUUGCCCAUUGUUCAACUGUUUUGGCUGGCUCUGAUAACCCGACUGCUGCUGCUGCUGCUGGCUGUUCUGAUUAUUCUGGUGAUUGUGACCGCCCUGAUUGCGACCUGAACCGGAAGCUCCAUCGUGAUCCGGCCCGUGGAAACCGGAUCCUGAACCGCCACCUGAUCCGUGAUCAUACUGGAAAGCAUCAGAGUUCUUGAACUCCUGCAUGAUAUAACAAUCUUUCCAAAGAUGGUUAGCCGGCGCCUCCUUCAUCCCGUGCUUCGGGCAAGGCUGAUUCAACAAAUAGUUCAAACGGCUUGCGUUAGGAUUGGGAGCCCCGUUACGAUUUGCCGCUUUACCUCUGCGCCGCUGCCCCCUGUCCUGUGUGUUAGUGUUGGCCACAAAGUCCACGCUGCCAUCCGCUUUGCGCUUGCCUCCGUUUCCAUGACCCGUUAGUUUGUUCUGCUGCUGUUUGGAGUUGCUAUUCUUCUUUCCCUUCCCUGCUUCAUCAUCAUUAAGCUCGGGAUCCUUGGUACUGUCCGAAUCGGCAUACUUCACUAAAGCAGCCAUGAGGGCUCCCAUGUCAUUACAGAACCGCUUCAUGCAUCCCAAUUUCAAUUUUAGAGGCUCAAACCGGCAGUUGCCUUCCAGAGUUAAGACCGCAGAGUCAGCAUUAAUCCUGUCAGAUGAGUGCAAAAUUUCCGAAAUGCGGCGCACCCAAUGGGUCGUUGAUUCUCCUUCUUCCUGAACACAAGCCGCCAGGUCUACUAUGGACUUGGGCUGCUUACAUGUAUCCUUGAAAUUCUGUAUAAACCGGGCCCGCAACUGGGCCUAUGAGCUGAUAGAAUUGGGCGGUAGGCCCUUUAACCAAGUACGAGCCGUGCCCUCAAGCAUCAUGGUGAAAUAUUUUGCACAUGCGGCCUCAUCCACGUCCAACAUUUCCAUGGCCAUCUCAUAACUCUCUAUCCAUGCUUCAGGGGGUAAAUCAGCGGUAUAAUUCGGCACCUUGCAUGGACCCUUGAAAUCUUUGGGCAGGCGCACAUUACGUAAAGCAGGGACCAAGCAAGGCACUCCCAGAGCGGAUGUGAUUCCUGGCCCGGCAGAACGAACUGGUGUGAGUUGGCCCGCAUUAUCCUGUGCUGCUAACUCGGCCUCCCUUUGCACCCGGGCCCGGUUCACCGCAUCCCGAGUAUCAACAACACCACCUGCCGGGUCAUCACCACGGGCCGCUUCACGGCCUUGCGCAUUGCUUGAUAUGGCUGGUUCAUCCAUGCCCCUGCUAUAGCUCCGGCUCGGACGGGGCGUAGAAUGAACCCGAUCACGGCUGUAUGAGUAUGCCUCCUGCUGAAUCAGCGCGGUCCGGAGAAGCUCCUUAACCCGGCGCGUCUCUAUUGCUUGCGGAGAAUCCCCUUCGACUGGGAUGGCCUCUAACCGUGCGGCGGCCGCAACAAGGUUGUCCAUAGGAUUCGAAUAAUGACCCGGGGGCGUCUGGACCGGCGGAGGGACCACAAUAUUUUGGCGAGGGGGUUCCAUCAGGCGAGGUUGGACCGCUGCUCCUGGCCCUGGCGCCUCAAUCCGGUUUGUCUCCUGAUACCGCGGUGGAUUACUGGGUCCAGCUCCUGGAGUGUGAAAGAGAUUUCGGGGGUCAAACCCUAACGGCAGGCGUGAUCUGUGCUUCCGCUUCAAAACCUCCUGUGAUGCAUUCUGGUCAAGCAUGAGUUUAUAGGCCUGUGCGUCCAAAGCGGCCUGCUCUGCAGCCAUCCGGUCUUUUUCCGCUGCCAGAUCCGCUUUGGCUUGCACGAUCUGCUCUCUCACCUUCGCAAUUUCUGCAUUAUGAGCCUCUUGAUCUGCCGGAUCAUCCUCUGUCAUAAGCGCGGCUAGUGCGUCCAACAGAUCAGACAGAACUUGAACCGGCGGGCGCACAAGGCCUCCUGCCCCUGCUGCCGCUGCCGCUGCGGAUCCGGAGAGCAUUGCUGUGGCAGUCGAAGAAUAAUUCGCCGCCUGGGUGCCAGCCAUGAAUAUUCCAACCCGGUUGAUCUGGCCUGGGGGGUCCGGAAUACUGUCGCCAUCGGAACAACCCCUCACCUGAUCGUCUUGCAUCCGGUAUAGCGACUCGGUCUCUCCGGUCGAAGACUCGUCGCCGGAAUAGACGACGGUCUCGUUACCGUGCUCUGAUUCGUCCUCACGCUCUCCUCCAUAGAUGACUCCAACGAAGGCACGCUUCAUGGCCGGUUUAACCUGGGUAGAUCUCGCACGCUGAGCCGUCUCGACGGGGUCGGUGUAGAUGUCCGGCUCAGGCCGAGGCUCACCGAUCUUGCCGAUGAAGACGUGUAUGCUGCCAAAGGGGACCCGGUACCCAUACUCGAUCGAAUCGGCCUCGGGACCCCAUCCUGCAUCAUCGAUGUAGAUCCUGCCCCGACGACUCUUGGUCAUCUGGCCCACUACAUAGCCUUCGAGUCCCUUGAGCUUGCCCUCCAAGAUCGUCAAACUAUCAUGCGAUAGCCCCACGAUGGGCGCCAACUGUCGCGGAUUUGUCACGGCAGGUGUCCUAGCGAAAGGACUUAGUCGUGGAGCCAUCGCUACGAGUUUACUUGAAGGGGUUAAAGCGGACACAAAGACACGAGGGUUUUAUACUAGUUCGGCCCCUUCGAUGAAGGUAACAGCCUACGUCUAGUUGUGGUGGAAUUGAUAUGAUCUCGAUGGCUAGGGAGCAAACAAGCUUUGCCUAGGCUCGAGUUGUUGUUGUCUCCCUUGAACCGCCGCCGGGUCGUCCCCUUAUAUACACGGGUGACGCCCGUCGGUCCAUAGAGUCCCAGCCGGUUCAUAUUCGUAUUCCGGUCGGUAUCUCUCUAUUCCUAACUUACAAUACAAGUUAUACAUCAGGUCGGUUUACAGCUACAGAUUCUAAACCGACUAUAGGCCUUGGGCCUUCACCUGCUUAUACCACUAUGAAGUUAACCCGGCUCAAGUAGGCCGGUUUACGCCCAGUGGUAAUAUCCCCAACACCAUGUAUACAUAACUACGCACUUAAGAUACCAUGGGCAGCGGCGGAAGCACAAUACGGAUAAGUCUGCAAACAUUCCGGUAAUGUUUUUUAUAUACUUUCCUUUUUUCAAUACUUCUUAAAAGCAGGUAGCACAACGGAGAAACACUUACGACCGACUCCAUCGGAGUUCGGAUCCAUACACUCACCUACGGGGCUACUUCCUUCAAGGAUUCCCCUCGCUGAGGACAGGCGGCGCAGACGUGUGACAUGAGGUCCAAAAUAAAUUUUUGUAGACUGCACUCUUUUUUAGAGCCUGUAACAUGCCUUUUUCCUCUGCCUUUGACCCAGGGCAUAUCAAAUGACCCAGGUCGUGGCAAUUAUAUUAAUUAAUCAUCGGCAUAUCGCUCAGGUCCCAGUUCUCACUAUCCAAAUUAAUUACCCGCAUCUUUCCCGCAAAUGAACACGCCUCCCAUGGUUGUUUCACAAACAUACCCCGGCUUAACUUGCCAGGGGCUCGGUACGGGAACAAAUGAGUUGCCAACAAAGUCCGAAUAGCUUUUACAGCGUACUUCAGCGUCGCGAGUUUGGCCUUAUAUGCAUCGGCUCCGAAUCAUGUCUUGGGUCAAUAGUUGGGUUGCCCGGCUCCUAUGCUUGCUAUCCUACGUUCCGUUCUAUCGGCUAGGGUAGUAAAGGGAGAACUACUGCGAUUGUGCUACCGGUUCACCUGGUGACGCACCUCAGUAGAGAAAACCAAAAACUGACUGUCAUGAUGUGGCGAGAGCUGGUCAACCACUCGAUGACUUAUCGGAGUCUCUAGCGAUUCCUCCAUGUCACAUGAAGGACCUCUUUUCCGAUCAAUUAUGUAAACGCAUCGUAUGAAUAAGCCGCAUACAUACUAGGGGCUAUGUCGUAGACCCACCAUAAAACUCCUAUGUCUAAGUGAAAGUGUUAACGCCCUAUAGUUUGGUUGCCUGGUUCACCGCAUUGACACCUCCUUUACGGACCAAGACGUUGGGUCAAGAGUGAUGAUAUGCUUUUUUGAACACCCCUGUACUUCCUACAAGGGGGCUGAAGCCGACGACUGGAAACCUUUUAGAUUAUAUUAAAAUGGCCGCACAGGAGGAACACUAUAAAAUUGUCUCGUACAAUUCUUAUACACCUCACUCGAACAUUAUGUCUUUCGAACAUUGACCCUCUAUCAAGUGGGCGGCUACUAGGACGUCUUCAAAAUAAUGCUCUGGUUCAUGGCGGUCCCUGCGCUUGGGCGGACUCUUCACCGCAACGUCGAUGGCCUUCAUAUUCCUCCAGAAUGUCUUGACUCAGGCAAAAGCCAUCUAUGCACCCUCGAUGCACACCAAUCGUUUCACAACAUCGAUACACGGCACUGCGUCAACAAGCUGCUGCACCAAGCCAAAGUAACUAUUCGGAAUAGGCUCAGUUGGCCAUAACCAGAUUAUGACAUUCUUCAUAGCAGCACCGGAUAUCCUAUGAAGCUCAGCCCAAUGGGACAUCUGCUCAUUCAGCAACAGGGGGCGCUUCGAGGCACCGAACUGUGACCAGAAAAGCUUCUCCGUUGCGUACCCCUCUCGCGCCUGAUAAUACUGCGCUGCAUCGGAAGAACUCUUCGGCAAGUCUAAAAACUCGUCCGGAGAACUCCACAAUUGGUUCAAUGAGCAUAGUUCGGAUCGCCGAACUUAGCCUGUAGUAAAAAUGGCUUACCAGCCGCAAUCUCCCCAGCUUGCCGGAUCUCCUCAUGGGCCGCUCUGGAUUCAGACCGUGCUUCUCUUGCUUCUUGUAAAGCCUUUUUAAUUUCAGCCAUUUUGGCUUCUUUCUCCUUCUCAAGGAGCUCACAGCGGCUGGCAACACUUUUUAGCUCAAGCGCCAUCAUGAACAUCCUCUCCUCGUCUUGACGCCGAGCAGCCCGUUCGGCUUCUAACUCAGCCGAUGCCUUCUCGGCAGCCGCAUUACUACGCCGGGCCUGCUCCUUGGACCGGGCUAGCUCCACCCGAAGAAUUUCAACGGUGGUAGCACCAUCUGCAGCCAGGUACAGCUUUUCGCGUCAUGCUUAUAUCACAAAAAUGUACGUACAGAGACUGGUUCGAAUACAUACCUUGCGACUCAUCAAGGCGCAUAUUGAUCAAUGUAAUAUCAUCCUCGGCCACAUCAAGCUUCCGUUGCAGUUCGGCAAUAUCCGCAGUUCGGGAAGUAGCCAGGGGGGAAGCAGCCUGUGUUCAAAGUUAAUCAGUUUAGUCCUCCAAAAUUUCUUCUUGAUCCUCCGUUCGCCUCCCAUAGGAAGCCAACCGGAGUCUCAGGGGCUACUGUCUAUACACAGGUGUAUUUUCUGAAUAAAACACAAUUGCACAUGUUACAUUACAAACCUCGAAGCCUCUCAGCAGGCUCGCAAAGGCCUCAUUCAAUCCGCUCUUCGUAGAUAGGACCUUUUCAACCACUGUACCCAUCAAGUACGAUGUUCCUCUGAAAUAGACGCCUGCCGCAGCAUGUUCAUCAAGAUAUCCGGCGCCUCUGGGUCUCCGGAGGCAGCCGCAGGAGUAUGGUCACCCUUUGAAGGGAUCCGUUUAUUUGUAUCCGGCUGCAUUCCGGACUGUUCGGGGUCUUCAUUGUUGUUUCUCGGACCCUGGGCCGCCGAAGUAUCACCUUCGUAUAGCAUCUUCGUCAUCCCUUGCACCACUUGUUGGUCGGGGGAGACCCUCCGCGACGACACUCAAGAUCGUCUGCCCUAUUGGACGGAGAGGACGGUGGGGGCGUCUCACUUUCCAUCAUCUCCGGGAGAAGGUCCCCCGAGGAAGAGGAUUGUUGAAGGGGACUGCGCGCUGGGCUGCAAAAAAUGUAUAUUUUAGGCAUCAUACGAAAAGAACGGCAUAUGUUUAGAACAGCCUUGUUCACUUACGAUUGGGUCGGAGGCUCGUCCUCGUCAUGAGGCUGCGCUUCGACGUCCUCCAGGACCGGGGCGCCUCCCAGAGACAUCUUGCCUCGCUUAGGAGCCUGCUUCUCCCAAUCUUCGGAGGCGGCCCUCUUCUUCUUGGGAGGGAAAGAGAUAGUGCCCCCUAUGUUGGGGAACGUAGCAGAAAUUCAAAAUUUUCCUACGUGUCACCAAGAUCUAUCUAUGGAGAGACCAGCAACGAGUAGAAAGAGAAUGCAUCUACAUACCCUUGUAGAUCGCUAAGCGGAAGCGUUCAAGAGAACGGGGUUGAAGGAGUCAUACUCGUCGUGAUCCAAAUCACCGGAGAUCCUAGUGCCGAACGGACGGCACCUCCGCGUUCAACACACGUACAGCCCGGUGACGUCUCCCAUGCCUUGAUCCAGCAAGGAGAGAGGGAGAGGUUGAGGAAGACUCCGUCCAGCCGCAGCACAAUGGCGUGGUGGUGGUGGAGUAGCGUGGCAAUCCUGCAGGGCUUCGCCAAGCACCGCGAGAGAGGAGGAGCACUUGGGAGAGGGAGGGCUGCGCCAGGGGCAAGGGUGAAGCUCCCAUGCGCCUCCCCACUAUAUAUAGGGGUGGAGGGGGCUGGUUUCUUGCCCUCCAAGUCCAUUGGGGCGUUGGCAAAGGUGGGAGGAAAGAAAUCCCAUCAUUUCCUUCCCCACCGAUUGCUAUCCCCCCUUUUUAGGGAUCUUGAUCUUAUCCCUUUGGGAUAUGAUCUUAUUCCUUCUAAGGGGGGAUCUUGGUGCGCCUUGACCAGGGGUGUGGGGCCUUUCCCCCACUACCCACGUUCAUGUGGGUCCCCCCAUGCAGGUGGGCCCCACUCCGGAACCUUCUAGAACCUUCUCGGUACAAUACCGAAAAAUCCCGAACAUUUUCCAGUGGCCAAAAUAGGACUUCCCAUAUAUAAAUCUUUACCUCCGGACCAUUCCGGAACUCCUCGUGACGUCCGGGAUCUCAUCCGGGACUCCGAACAACAUUCGGUAACCACAUACAAACUUCCUUAUAACCCUAGCGUCAUCGAACCUUAAGUGUGUAGACCCUACGGGUUCGGGAGACAUGUAGACAUGACCGAGACGUUCUCCGGUCAAUAACCAACAGCGGGAUCUGGAUACCCAUGAUGGCUCCCACAUGUUCCACGAUGAUCUCAUCGGAUGAACCACGAUGUCAAGGACUUAAUCAAUCCCGUAUUCAAUUCCCUUUGUCUAUCGGUAUGUUACUUGCCCGAGAUUCGAUCGUCGGUAUCCAAUACCUUGUUCAAUCUCGUUACCGGCAAGUCACUUUACUCGUUCCGUAACACAUCAUCCCGUGAUCAACUCCUUGGUCACAUUGCGCAUAUGAUGAUGUCCUACCGAGUGGGCCCAGAGAUACCUCUCCGUUUACACGGAGUGACAAAUCCCAGUCUCGAUCCGCAUAAAACAAUAGAUACUUUCGGAGAUACCUGUAGUGCACCUUUAUAGUCACCCAGUUACGUUAUGACGUUUGAUACACCCAAAGCACUCCUACGGUAUCCAGGAGUUACACGCUCUCAUGGUCGAAGGAAGAGAUACUUGACAUUGGCAAAGCUCUAGCAAAUGAACUACACGAUCUUUUGUGCUAGUCUUAGGAUUGGGUCUUGUCCAUCACAUCAUUCUCCUAAUGAUGUGAUCCCGUUAUCAACGACAUCCAAUGUCCAUAGCCAGGAAACCAUGACUAUCUGUUGAUCACAAUGAGCUAGUCAACUAGAGGCUCACUAGGGACAUAUUGUGGUCUAUGUAUUCACACGUGUAUUACGAUUUCCGGAUAAUACAGUUAUAGCAUGAAUAAAAGACAAUUAUCAUGAACAAGGAAAUAUAAUAAUAAUACUUUUAUUAUUGCCUCUAGGGCAUAUUUCCAACAAACACUUCUUGAAAUUUUGUAAGGGAUCAUCUUAUUUACUACCGUCGUCCUAAGUAAACAAGAUGCAUAAUCAUAAUAAACAUCACAUGCAAUCAAAUAGUGACAUGAUAUGGCCAAUAUCAUUUUGCUCCUUUUGAUCUUCAUCUUCGGGGCUCCAUGAUCAUCAUCGUCACCGGCAUGACACCAUGAUCUCCAUCAUCAUGAUCUCCAUCAUCGUGUCUUCAUGAAGUUGUCACGCCAACGACUACUUCUACUUCUAUGGCUAACGCGUUUAGCAAUAAAGUAAAGUAAGUUACAUGGCGUUCUUCAAUGACACGCAGGUCAUACAAUAAAUUAAGACAACUCCUAUGGCUCCUGCCGGUUGUCAUACUCAUCGACAUGCAAGUCGUGAAUCCUAUUACAAGAACAUGAUCAAUCUCAUACAUCACAUAUAUCAUUCAUCACAUCCUUUUGGCCAUAUCACAUCACAUAGCAUACCCUGCAAAAACAAGUUAGACGUCCUCUAAUUGUUGUUUGCAUGUUUUAUGUGGCUGCUAUGGGUUUCUAGCAAGAACGUUUCUUACCUACGCAAAACCACAACGUGAUAUGCCAAUUGCUAUUUACCCUUCAUAAGGACCCUUUUCAUCGAAUCCGUUCCGACUAAAGUGGGAGAGACUGGCACCCGCUAGCCACCUUAUGCACCAAGUGCAUGUCAAUCGGUGGAACCUGUCUCACGUAAGAGUACGUGUAAGGUCGGUCCAGGCCGCUUCAUCCCACAAUACCGUCGAAACAAGAUUGGACUAGUAACGGUAAGCAUAUUGAACAACAUCAACGCCCACAACUACUUUGUGUUCUACUCGUGCAAAGAAUCUACGCAAUAGACCUAGCUCAUGAUGCCACUGUUGGGGAACGUAGCAGAAAUUCAAAAUUUUCCUACGUGUCACCAAGAUCUAUCUAUGGAGAAACCAGCAACGAGGGGAAGGAGAGUGCAUCUACAUACCCUUGUAGAUCGCUAAGCGGAAGCGUUCAAGAGAACGGGGUUGAAGGAGUCGUACUCGUCGUGAUCCAAAUCACCGGAGAUCCUAGUGCCGAACGGACGGCACCUCCGCGUUCAACACACGUACAGUCCGGUGACGUCUCCCACGCCUUGAUCAAGCAAGGAGAGAGGGAGAGGUUGGGGAAGACUCCGUCCAGCAGCAGCACGACGGCGUGGUGGUGGUGGAGGAGCGUGGCAAUCCUGCAGGGCUUCGCCAAGCACCACGGGAGAGGAGAACUUGUGAGAGGGGGAGGGCUGCGCCAGAACUUCGUGUAUAGCUCCCAUGCGCCUCCCCACUAUAUAUAGGGGUGGAGGGGCUGGUUUCUUGCCCUCCAAGUCCAUUGGGGCGUUGGCCAAGGUGGGAGGAAAGAAAUCUCAUUAUUUCCUUCCCCACCGAUUGUUAUCCCCCCUUUUUAGGGAUCUUGAUCUUAUCCCUUCGGGAUAUGAUCUUAUUCCUUCUAAGGGGGGAUCUUGGUGCGCCUUGACCAGGGGUGUGGGGCCUUUCCCCCACUACCCACGUCCAUGUGGGUCCCCCCAUGCAGGUGGGCCCCACUCCGGAACCUUCUAGAACCUUCCCGGUACAAUACCGAAAAAUCCCGAACAUUUUCCGGUGGCCAAAAUAGGACUUCCCAUAUAUAAAUCUUUACCUCCGGACCAUUUCGGAACUCCUCGUGACGUCCGGGAUCUCAUCCGGGACUCCGAACAACAUUCGGUAACCACAUACAAACUUCCUUUAUAACCCUAGCGUCAUCGAACCUUAAGUGUGUAGACCCUACGGGUUCGGGAGACAUGUAGACAUGACCGAGACGUUCUCCGGUCAAUAACCAACAGCGGGAUCUGGAUAUCCAUGAUGGCUCCCACAUGUUCCACGAUGAUCUCAUCGGAUGAACCACGAUGUCAAGGACUUAAUCAAUCCCGUAUUCAAUUCCCUUUGUCUAUCGGUAUGUUACUUGCCCGAGAUUCGAUCGUCGGUAUCCAAUACCUUGUUCAAUCUCGUUACCGGCAAGUCACUUUACUCGUUCCGUAACACAUCAUCCCGUGAUCAACUCCUUGGUCACAUUGCGCAUAUGAUGAUGUCCUACCGAGUGGGCCCAGAGAUACCUCUCCGUUUACACGGAGUGACGAAUCCCAGUCUCGAUCCGCAUAAAACAAUAGAUACUUUCGGAGAUACCUGUAGUGCACCUUUAUAGUCACCCAGUUACGUUGUGACGUUUGAUACACCCAAAGCACUCCUACGGUAUCCAGGAGUUACACGCUCUCAUGGUCGAAGGAAGAGAUACUUGACAUUGGCAAAGCUCUAGCAAAUGAACUACACGAUCUUUUGUGCUAGUCUUAGGAUUGGGUCUUGUCCAUCACAUCAUUCUCCUAAUGAUGUGAUCCCGUUAUCAACGACAUCCAAUGUCCAUAGCCAGGAAACCAUGACUAUCUGUUGAUCACAACGAGCUAGUCAACUAGAGGCUCACUAGGGACAUAUUGUGGUCUAUGUAUUCACACGUGUAUUACGAUUUCCGGAUAAUACAGUUAUAGCAUGAAUAAAAGACAAUUAUCAUGAACAAGGAAAUAUAAUAAUAAUACUUUUAUUAUUGCCUCUAGGGCAUAUUUCCAACACCCUAUACUUUUGUCUUCGGAUGAGGGGAUUUUUAUUCCUCCGGACAUAAAGUCCGAGGUCCCUUGGGAAUAGAGGCCGUCCUUGGUCCUCUUGUCCUCCGCCUCGUCCUCCUUCUCCGGCAUCUGGUAUGGUGUUGGGGCCAGCAUCCUUGUUAGGACAGGAUUUGCUGGACCCUCGGGCAGAGGGGCCGAACACAUAAUCAGUUCCGCCUUCUUUAUCCAGCCCUGGAAAAAGAUAGCCUGCUCAGUAUCAUAUUACUGUAUGCAUGGCCGCAAAGUAUUUGAGAGCCAACUGCUUACCGGGGUAUCCGAACAAUUACAGUUGAGGCCAGCAUCCUCAGCGGUAUUUGGCCAAUGUUUCCGCUUCCCAAAAAAUAACUUCCACAUCCCUUAAUGUGUGGCGCCAAAAAAGUGUUGGAGGGUCUGUAGUCCUUCUGGAUUAAACUCCCACAUGCGGCGAGGCCUGCGCUGGCAGGGCAGGGUUCGGCGGACUAACAUCACUUGAAUCACACUAACGAGAUCGAUAUCUCUCUAGAGGAGGGUUCAGAUGCGGCUUUGUAAGGUCCGCACUUCAUCAACCGAUCCCCAGUCCAGCCCCUUGUUAACCCAUGAUGCAAGUUGUGAUGGUGGGACAGGACGGAAAGUGGGUGCAGCAACCCACUUAGUACUGCGGGGCUCUGUAAUGUAAAACCACUCCCGCUGCCGGCAAUUGGAAGUCUCGGUAUUUUGGCCAGGUAGUGUUGGCGAGUUGGCUGAUUGUAGCACUGCCGCACUCCACUUGCUCCCCGUCGGCUAUCUUCGGUUUCACACUAAAGGUCUUGAGCCAUAAGCUGAAGUGUGGGGGGAUUCGAAGGAAGGCCCCACAUGUAAUGAUAAAUGCCAAGACGUGGAGAAUCGAGUCCGGGGCCAGGUCAUGAAAAUCCAGUCCGUAAUAAAACAUUAGCCCCCGGACGAAGGGGCGAAGCGCAAACCCUAACCCCCGGAGGAAGUGGGGGAUGAACACAACCCUCUCGCCGGAUCUGGGGGUCGGAAUAACUUGUCCUUGAGCAAGAAGCCGGUGGUGGAUCUCUGCAGUCAGAUAUCUGGCUGCCGGAAGCUUUGCAAUAUCCUCCUCUAUAACAGAGGAAGCCACCCAUCGGCCUUGGGAGCUGGAUCCGGACAUGAUGGGAAGGCUGAAAGCAAUGGAGUGGAACCUUGGGUGUUGGAACUCGCGGUUGGGAAGGCUGAGGAGAAGUUUGGCGUAAAAAAGACGACCCUUGGUUCCUUUAUAAAGGCCUCCAGUAUUGAACGCCUCCUCCUAAAGCCUAAGAACCAGCCUAUUCCUAAGGAAUCUUGCCCACAGGAUGCUUAGGUUGCCCACACCCGUAUUGAUGAAAAUCCCGCAAUAAGGGGGCACGAUCCCAGCUUCGACCAGACGUGCCAGUAAAAACCACACCCCCAAAACGUGGAACGGCAGGACAGGAAACGGUUCGAAAUAAAGGCGGGGAGGGCGUGACGUCACAUUAUUAAAGAUGUCAGUAGAUCGGAUUCAUGAAAAUGCUAUACCCUCUACAGUUGUGUGUUACAGAUCCGGACACGUUUGUUUCAUCCGAAGACUAUUUUUUGGAGUUCGGAAGGAGGAACCCGCCUUGCAAUGCCGAAGACAGCACUACGCGCCGGAUACCUUGUCAUUGAAGCCAGGUUCAGGGGCUACUGAGGGAGUCCUGGACUAAGGGGUCCUCGGGUGUCUGACCUGUUAUCUAUGGGCCUGACUGAUGGGAUGUGAAGACGUGAAGACCGAAGACUACACCCGUGUCCGGAUAGAACUCUCCUUGGCGUGGAAGGCAAGCUUGGCGAACAACUAUGAAGAUUCCAUCUUAUAUAACCGACUCUAUGUAACCCUAGAUCCCCUCGGUGUCUAUAUAAACCGGAGGGUUUAGUCCGAAUAGGAUGGACUCAAUACCUUAGUCAUACAGGCUAGACUUCUAGGGUUUAACCAUUACAAUCUCGUGGUAGAUCAAAUCUUGUAAUACUCGUAUUCAUCAAUAUCAAUCAAGCAGGACAUAGGGUAUUACCUCCAUUAAGAGGGCCCGAACCUGGGUAAAACUUCGUGUCCCCUGUCUCCUGUUACUGUCAACCUUAGACGCACAGUUUGGGACCUCCUACCCCAGAUCUGCCGGUUUUGACACCGACAACGGGGUGUCCAGAAACUUACUGAAGAACCUCACAGGACACCGCGACAAAGCACAACUCAACGAGGAAUAAUGAGGGGUGUAUGAAUAUAGGAGGCAUUCCCACACGACAUUUAUUCCACAAUGACCCCUCUUGAUAGUGCGGUUUUUCCUAUGACUCAAAACGAACCAAACGAAAACCUUCAAGUCGUCGGUAAACCACCCUUUAACCUUUUUGAAUUUGGGGGGGGGGUCAUAUAACUCAAAUGGAAUCUUCAUGGAACCAAUAUCCUGAGAUAGACUUUAGCAACCGAUAUUAGUUCCUCUAAUCAUAUUGUCAUCACACCAAAAUAUACUAAAGUGCCACAUGCACUUUCAACCAUACUUGGGCCUAAGGGAAGGCAUUGUGGAGUAAUAAGUAGAUGAUGAGUUGCUAGAGUGACAGAAGCUUAAACCCUAGUUUAUGUGUUAUUCUGUAAGGGGCGAUUUGGAUUCAUAUGUUUCAUGCUAUGGUUAGAUUUAUCUUAAUUUCUCUUUCGUAGUUGCGGAUGCUUGUGAGAGGGGGUAAUCAUAAGUGGGGGGGCUCCUUCAAGUAAGAACAUCACCCAAGCACCGGUCCACCAACAUAUCAAAUUAUCAAAGUAGCGAACAUGAAUCAAAUAAACAUGAUGAAAGUAACUAGAUGAAUUCUCAUGUGUCCUCAAGAACGUUUUGCUUAUUAUAAGAGAACGUUUCUGCAUGUCCUUUGCUCUAAGAAGUAUUGGGCUACCUUGUUGCACCUUUGUUACCGAUGCUACUUGUUACUUGUUACGAAUUACUUUGUUAUCAAACUAUCUGUUACCAGUAAUUUCAGUGCUUGCGGAGAAUACCUUACUGAAAACUGCUUGUCAUUUUCUUCUGCUCCUCGUUGGGUUCGACACUCUUAUUUAUCGAAAGGACUACGAUUAAUCCCCUAUACUUGCAGGUCAUCAAUCAGGUCCCUCGAUGAGAGAGAGAGAGAAAGAGAGAGAGAGAGUGACAGAUAGGAGGGAACCGUGGGCCAACAUAGACAACACUCGGUCAUGGUUUCAUUGAUCUAGAAAAUUUGUGCAGCCCACAUCCCACGCAUUAUAGUGAGGCACCAAAAUACGAUACCAUUGAUCUAGUAAUUACAAAACUUUGCCACCACAUACAUAUAUAACAAACAUUAAUGAAAACAAAAACCAACAAACUAAAUAACAUAUAUUUGGUCGUGCUAAUGUGACCUUGUGUUGGAUUCUCGUGAUCUGCCACAGUGGGGGUGGGUGGGGAGUCUAGGGAUGGAAGGGGGUGAUUUUUGGAACCUCACAUAGUCAGUGAAUAAUCAGGGAAAAGCUAAAGUAAUUUAGUACAUUAAUGAUAUUUUUAUUACUAACAAUAACUAAUCUAGGUGAGAACACGGUGGAUUUCUGUAUAUGAGGAAAAAGGUAUUGAUGCACUAGAUGAGAAUACAUACAAGACACUACAAGUACAACCAUCAGAAGGCACCGAGUGACUUCCUCUGAGUCAACUUUUGUAGAAUUGAACUAUCGCUUUAGUUUUGAUGCUAUGAUUUAAGUAAAGUGCUCAAAUUCCACAUCACUCGAAUGAGCAUAAAACAACAACCGCCUAAGUGUUUAGGCAUAGUUUGUGUACUACAUGGUGUUUGUUGUAUUGUUGAAAUUCGAAUAAAAAGAAUCGUAUAAAUUGUUUCAUGUUGAGACUGGAUAAAAUUAUUUUGAUGCUGUAAAUCUUAAAGGGCGCAUAAUUUUGACUUUCGAUGUAACAUAAACCAUAAGAUAAACCUUGUUUGUCGUCAUGAUAUCUAUCAUAAUGCAUGCAAAAGACAAAACAAAAGUCGUACUCUAGCUCAAAGCCAGAUGUAUGACGUGUCGGAUAAGUGCUCCAGCGAAAAAGUAAGACACAAGUUGACAUCGAUCUAUCGAGCCACAUUACACCCCUAUAUUAAAAGUGCUCCCGGAAAAGAUUCGAGUGAACACAACCGAAUCUCCGCUACGGUUUCCUUGAUCUAAGCCAGUCAUAGCGACGGUUUCCGUAGCCCACAUAUCUGUCAAAAGUCCACUGUUGUUUCCUUGAUCUAGGCCAGUGCAUACGGACGGUUUCCGCGGCCCACAAAUCAGUCAAAAAUCCAUUGCCGUUUCCUUGAUCUAGGCCAGUCAAGCGCAUUGACGGUUUUCGCAGCCCUGUCGAUAGUCCGUUGCCGUUUCCUUGACCUAGGUCAGUCAUGCGUAGCGACGGCUUGUGCAGCCUCCAUAUCUCGCAUGAUAAUGUGGCGCCGCGAAACUUUCAUGCCACCAGAUAUAUAUAUAGAUUAAUGAAAAUAAAACAACUCGACUAAAUAAAAAGCAAUGUGGUUCGUAAUAAUGUGUUUCCUUAUUAUGUUUAACACCAAAUAUCACACAUUGGUUGGUUUAUUUUUCUAUCUAAAAAAGGUUGAUUUUUCACUCUACCUCAGCAAAACCAAAUCAUCAUGCGUAUAGCAUAGAGAGUAGCCAUUGCCCGAUAUGGAACAACAGAGACCGGCUGGUUUUACCGCACACAUACAUGUGGGCGGCGCGAGGGUAACUCUAACAAACUGCCUUAAUCGCUAUAAUUCGAUAUGAUAAAUCACGAGAUCAAAAGCAUCCAGGUGUCUAGAGUGGGGAGUGAACGGCUCACGUGCCCGGCCUCUUCCUCUUUUUAUGCCCCUGCCCCUUCCCCGUUCCUCCUCCCCAAAACCCCUCUCACCACCAUCCAGUCUCUCUCCAAAUCUUGGGACACAAAGGCCACCGUACUGAAAUAUAGAUUGACAGAGGCGGGGCGGGAACCAGCGAGCGAGCGAGCUCGGCACGGACCCGGUCCGACGAGAUGCUCAAGGAGCGGCAGAGGAGCAUUGUGCUGCGCCGGAAGUUCAGCGUGGCGUCCAUUCCGUCGGCGGCGAGGCGGGUGCGCCAGGUGAGCGGCGACGACAAGAAGGCACGCGCGCGGCCGAUCUUUUUUGUGUCGGCUAACACCGUGAAGAUGAGCGCUGGAGGCGGCGCCACCCCCUAUCUAAAGAGGGACACCUUUGCCGGGCUGUGGAUGGCGGCAGCGUUCCUGGCGGCCUGCGGCAUCUGCCGCAAACCCCUCGCCGGCGAAGACGCCUACAUUUACAGGUACCAGCGUCACUAUUUUCCCAUUCUUUGUUCGUCGUAGCAUGGAAAAUGUACGGUAGAAUCCUCGUGUUUCGGCCUCGCGUUUCAGUUUUGUCCUUUUCGGUAGCUUCCUUGUGAUUUUUGGCUAGGAUCCGAUCAAUCUCUCAUGAUGCUUUCCGAUGUGAAUUCCGCGCCGUUCGUUCGUUUUCCACGUCAAGGUUGCACCUGAUCCAAUCUUCUUAUGAUGUUGCUGGCAGCUUACGAUUUUGUGUUGGUUUCGUGAUUCCCCUCGUGUUUUAUGUGAGGGGCAUAUUCAGGAUCCGUUUUCACUUAUGAAAAGAUGGUAAUAAUUUGUUACCCUCCAUGUUUAAUUUAGACAAGUACUCCGUACUAAUUUGACUAACCUCGUUCACUUGAAAGGUAAUGCUGAUUCAAUGCUAGCUAGUAUAAGCAACCCAUCGAUGCUACUAGUGUAAGCGGUUCAUAGCAUGAAUCUUAUGCUCUCCCGUAUUUUAGAGGAAUGUUCGAUGCAAACCUUUUCCUUCAGCAUGUUACUUGUUGCCAUGCUAAUUAAUUAUUAGUACUCCGUAUGUAUUUGCUAAUGAGAUAUGUACUAUUGAUCCAUGGGGUGCUCAUAGCUUUAUAAUUUGUCCUCUUUUAAUUUUUGUCCCUGAAUCAUGUAUGAAAUGUCCUGUCUCAAAAUAUAAAUUGGGAUGCAUUUAUUUUUUUUCUUAGGCGGUGGAUUAAGAUUUAGUUUUCUAGUCAAGAGUCUAACACACCAUAUAUACUCCCCGAAGCUACGCAAUAAAUAAAGAACAUUAAUCGCCAAAUCAUAUGAGUUGUUGUUUGAUUAUCAUACCAUAAACUUGUCACUCGUUACCAUCUAACGCUCGUAGAGUAUUUCUUUAAUUGUCACAAUCUGUCAUCAACGAGAGAGAAAUAAAUAAAUACUAAAAAAAUGCAUGGUUUCUUCACUGCAAUAAAAGAAGGUUAAAUUUAUUCGUUGGAGAUGUCUGUGACAUGAUGGUCCAAUUUCUUUGUCUGUCUUCUACAGGGGCAAAUUUGCAUUCUGCAGUGAUGAGUGCAGGGAGCUGUACAUCAAAUGGAAAAGGGUGUGCUCCCUCAGAUCCCGCAAGAAGGCCCCGUCGAACAAGUCCGGCAGCAGCAAGGGCUCGUGCGGCGGGCCAGGCUAACCCAAUAGAUUAUACUAGCUCCUAGUGAUGUGCCAUACAUAUAUGUGGUACAAUCUUCACCAUAUUUAAACCGUCCGUCCAUGUAUACAAGCUACCAGUCUCGAAUAAUGGUCGGUUACAUCCCAUUUCAUGAAUCAGUUUCACCGCUUUGUUGCUGAUAUGGAGCUGCGAGAUAUUUACCUCCAUAGUCGACAGUGUACUCGGUCUAACGAGCAUGACAACCCACCCUCAUGCACAAUGACCAUGUUCUCUGUAUGCCAAGUUGAGAGGUCUUGCACCCAUACUGUAGGCUGUGCAGCUUGGCCUCGACCACCCUAAUCAUUGCCUCCCUCCUUGUGGAUUGUGUGCCCUG